AAAGGGGCAACCUAGGCCGCUUUGGUCCUAGGCCUUGUUUUUCUGUCGCAUUUUUCUUUCUAGUGGCGCACAAUUCUUAAUGUCUUAGGUGUCUAUGCUGUGACUUUGUGUAUGUGUGUGUGAGCCCCUUGUACCCCUUUAUUCUCUUGAUGAAAUGAUAUGCAGCUCUCCUGUAUAUUCAAGAGAAAAAGGAAGCUCAAAAUGACAUUUUUCAUGGCCAAGGAAACAUCGGUUGGUGCCUCUGGGAACUUGAAACAGGGAAAAGCCAUAUGAGUAUCCUCCUCAACUCCCUCACUCAGGUAAGAAAAGUCAUAUGUUAGGAAUGAAUGAAUUAGCAUGCUCCAUAACAGCCACAAGGUUUCACCGUUCCACUUUGGUAUGAUAAGUAGUGUAGUAUUUCAAACAAAUGGAGGACCAAGUUGGUGCCUUGUGAUGAUAUGAGAUGAAACUAAUGAUGUCUAUAUACAGUAUUCUGACAUCAUAUUUCGAAAUGAUGAAAUGCUAGUCGAGAGUAUACAUGAGGAGCACCUUGGUAAACCAGCAUUGAUAUUGGUAGAGCAAACUGUUUGAGACAAAUAGAGUAUCACAUACAUAGAUGCAACACAAUGGGAUAAAAGUGAAUUAUGACUCCAGAAGGAGGUUAGCUUUCAUAUAGCAAACUGGACUUUUCUACAAUAUUUCUCAUGACAAAUCAUUUCCUAAGCUUCUUUAACUCAGUAUAGUUCCUGGGGUAAUUUUAGUGGGACUAAUCAUCUGAGUAUGGUACAGAAUUUGAAGUAAAACAAAGGAAGCUUCAAAGGCCAGUUAGAAUUAAUAGCAUAACUCUGUAAGGAACAAUUAUAAUAAACAACUCCAAUUACAGUUUGAUUCAAAGAAAAAAAAAACUUUUGGCUUCUGGAAAGGAAUUAAUGAGAAAUAACUGAAAUGGACACUGGGCAGAAUUUAGGUACUGUUAAAUUUCCAUCAUGUGGAAGUGGCAGGUAGAAAGAGGCUCAAGUCUUUAUGUAUCAACAUGAACAGAACUAGUAUGCACUUUACACAUGACUUAUCGCUUGCUACAGCUUAUUUGACUUGCACUUAUAAAUGAUAGUCAUGUACCAAGCAAUCAGUCAGAUUUUUAAAUAUGAGAAGUUCCAUGAGCAAAACAAGUAAAUAUUCUACAUUUGUGGUAUAAUUGGCACUCUGGUACCCUUCUUACCUGAAAGUGAGAACUGCAUAAACAACGGGCGAUCUGACGAAAAAGGGGCACCAUACACCUCUGGAAUUCUGCUGGCUGAGUAGCCUCUAGUACCUCCUCUAGCUCACCCAAAAACAUCACCUCCUUUGAGCUAUUCGUGAUGGGCCAAUACUUCAGUAAACCCCUUAUGACAGUAUCAGCAAGCUUGCAAUCUUUCUCAACAAACUGAGUGACACAGUAUGACAGUUGCUGAUGGUACAUGGCAACACAUUUUGGUUUGUGGAGUGGAAUCAAUGCCCGGACCAAAAACAAUUUGUGCUCUUCCUUGAGCGGCAAAGCGAAGCCAUUAAUUAUACUCCCCAAAAUCUCUAACAGCUCUGCAAUCCCAUUAUGCUUCUCUGUCUCAAAUAUGAACCUGUAGAAGAUAUUAUUAAUUGCCUUCCUGAUGAAUGGACGGUGCACCAUGAACUUGCCAUAUAUCCUGUGAAGUAUUGUUUUCAAGUACUCCCUCUCCCUAGGAUCCUCUGAGUCAAAGAGAUCAAGAAGCCUGAUAAUAAAACCAUGAUCAAUGUACCUCUUGGCCAGCUUUGCAUCUGUCUCAGGAGACUGAAUAAAUCUCAAGAACAGUUCAUAUACAAUCUGCAAGUGAGGCCAUGCCGGGUCCAUGACAGGCUCUUCCUCCUCCAAGUCGAACGACUCGAGCACCUUGUUCUCUCUCGGAGCAGGGUUUGGGGCUCUGAACAAAUUUAUAGACACCAUCUUGAUGACCUCCUGGACAACAGGCUCCGGGAACUUCCCGGUGGCAGAGGUGAUAUAGUCCACCAGCUCAAGCAACGUCUGCCUCUUGAUCUCCUUCUCCUUCACAUCCUUGGUCGGGUCCGUGAAGUCAAACACCACGCAGCACAUGGCCAGCUUCCUGAGGAACAGGCUGGGCUUCUCGGAGGCCGGCACGUCCCGGAAGCUCGGGAGCGCCUCGUACCCGGCCGAGGCCGUGAACCCGUUGCUGACGCCGGCACCAGCGCCGGCGUUCCUGGCCGCGUAGUUCUGGCCGGGAUUUGUGACCGUGGAGGCAUAACUGCUGGGAUUGACGAGCCUGCUAGACAUGGUCAAAUCCGUGGUGGUUCUUGCAUCGGCUGUCGGGCUGGGCAGCGACGUGCCCGCUCCGGCCAACUCCUUCUCGCCGGACUUGGCCGGCUUCUUGGGAAGCCGGCCGAGGAUUUGCUUAAUCAUGACGGAUUGAACCCCCGAACAAGUCCCCGAUCACAAUCGCGCUAAAGAAGCCUCCCCAAAUCCAUAAUCCCUUCGCCUGAUCAAAUUAAACACCGUCAUAACCUGAAACGGCAAUAUCCACGAAACAAAAUUGGGGAAAACCGCACCUGGGGAUCGAAUCGACGCCUCCGGAGCCGAAUCCGCGAUCGACGCCCUCGCAAGACCGCGCCUCUCGACGGGGAAACACAAUCAGGAACGGCAAUAAAGGGGCAGACCGGCGGAGUCAAAAAGGAAAAGGGGGCGCGGGGAGCGAAAGCAAAAGGCGGAGAAAAAUCGCGGCUUUAUCACGAAUUCCCGCAGGGAUUGGCCCGGGGCAGGCGCGGAAGGCUGCGAAUCGGACGGAUUGGUCCGGGAGCCCGUGGGAAUUUGGGUGGAGUUCGCGGAGGAGACGGUGGUGGCUCGUGCGUUCGGGUCUCUUCCGGGGGGCCGGCGCAGUGCGGGGAGGGAGAUAGUAGGUGGGCGAGGGCCAAAUUGGGCGAGGAAAUUAAAGACGACGGCGAGUCCUUUCUGGACCAAAUCCAAAUUCGUGAGAAUGGAUAGCCUCCGACGGCCGUAAAUUUUGUGGCGCACCCGGCGCUGAACAAUUCCCCUCCACAUCGAUGGUGCCACGAAACAUAUUCCCCUGCAAAAUUGUUCGUAUCUUCUUCUUUUGUACUUUUGUACAAAUUUCUAGGUUAUGCAAGUACUCAUCCACCAAGAUUUAUAGUCAAAUAAAAGGAGUUUCACAUGUAUAAUAGUUUUUGCUACCCGUUAAUAGGUUUGUAGAAAUAUAUCCUCCUGUAUAAUGAUUUGUAUCUUCAUGUUUUAUGUUUGGGAUCUUAUUUAAAAAAGUAGUGAAAUGAUGUAGGGUUUUGUCUUUAUGUUUCUUUUUUCUUUUUUAAAAGUGUUGCAAGUAUUAGUCCACAUAGAUUUAUAAGGCAAAUAAAAAAUGUUAUUUAGUAGCCCAUGUGUAACCACAUAUAUAACAGAACAUGUAUGAUUGUUAUCGUUAAGAUGAGUUAUUGUCAUGUUAGACACCAUUGAAAUGAAGUCAUAAGCAAACCGAGUUGGUUGUCUUCUUCGUGUUGGAAAUUGCCUACCUGAUUUGAAUCUCCGACGGUAUGAGUGCUUACAUUUUCUAUAAACUAUUAUUUCAGCAUAGGCGAUAGCACAUAUCGACACCGAAGAUUGUAGCAACCUUGUUAAUCUCAAAGUCUAGCGGUCUAGUCUCUCGAAGAUAUUUCUAUGGAUGAAUGAGAGUAUUGUGAUUCCAAACAAAAAAAAGGAAACAUUUCCAUAAGAAACAAACACACAUGUCCCUCUCAUUGUUUUAGUUUUAUAAAGUACGAUUGAGUAGAUGGUUUGAUUGAGGCCGUCAAAAUCUUCUAAACGAUUGAACCAGCAGUCUAGUCUAAGCUCGUAGACCAAAUUUUAAAACAAAAUGGGUUGAAUAAAUAAAACCUUAGUCCUUUUAUGUGUGGUACCCUCAGUGGGUACCCAAAGGAAAAGGAUGCACUAAAACAAAUGUUAAUGGAACUCAUGUAGAGAAUCAUACUCGGAUUAAAUAAAACAAAAGAAAGAAGCCAAUGGUGCCCCACUGACCGGCUGGUAGACUUGUAGCAGGUCCAACAAAGCACUAGCAAGAGAAUUGACCAGAGAGCAGCCAGCAUACACGCGCAUUCCUGCACUGGGUCACCGUUUCUGGAUUUGUCAAAUCCCAAAAUCAAAUUCCUCGUUCUUCAGCACGAGCACGAGACCAAUGAUAAAAACGCUCUGAAAACAGAAUUCCCGGUCAAAGGAACACCCCAGCUGUUUCUGAAGAUUUCUCAGGCAGGCUUUGUUUUUGACAAAAUUCAUCAGAAAAAAAAAUGAUGCAGUGGAUAAUGGACGGAUGGUGAACAGUGAUUAGCACACACGGCGAGAGUUAAAAGGUGGAGGAAAGUGGUUAGCUUAGCUGCCCCUGCUGUCACUGUUGAGCCCAGAAGCGAAGCGAGUGACAAAAUGGGUGGGAGAAAGAGGUGUCGCAUUCAGCUUCAGGUUCAGGGCAAUGUGAUAAAGCAAAGGCCUCGGCUGCUCACCUGCUGUGCCUGGCUGCCGCUCUGUCCGGCGACCACCUGCUCGUGCAAGCAACAUUUACCUAAUCCGUUUCACUUUACUCUAGCUAGCAAAUUUCAUUCGAGAUAGCUCACUGGGGAUUGAAACGGUAGAAAAAGUUAGUGUAAGAGUCCAUGAAAAGUGUUUUCUUUAAAUAAAAGAUUCUGCAAGAAACAGUUGUAAAUAUUUAUAAAUAUUUUUUCGGAGUUUGUUAUUUUCGUAACAAAAUGACACCUUUCCAUGAAGGGUAUCCAACUAUUCACGCAAUAGUUGCAACAGAAAGAAGAUCUUGGAAUUCCGAAAAUCUGCGCCAAAGCUCUCUUCGGACGCAUUUGGCCCAGUGGGCUACCAUGGGCCAUAGCUGAAUGAAGCGAAGUAGGACGAAUGAGGCCUCUGCAGAUAGCAUUUACCCUGUUUUCCCCGUCAGCAUCAUCCAUCGCGAGAAGCCAUGGCGUCCUUGUGCCGCACCGCCGCCGCCGCCGCCACCGUCAUGAGGUCAGGGGCCCUCCGGUCGAGAUCCCCCGCGGAGAGGCUAUUCCAGGCGGCGAGGUCUCCUCUCGCGGCACCGCGCAUCCGCAGGUAAUGCCCAAACCCCUGAACCCUUUUGCGUAUUCUUGCCUAUAACUGGUCUUUGCUCGAAGCGAUCCCGGAAGCCUGAAAAUGGGAUGCCUUUUGCUGAUCCUGCCUGUCUCAGGCCCGUCGUGGCGGCGGCGCUGGCGAGUCUCGAUUCGCUCAUGCCGCUGCACAGCGCUGUGGCGGCCGCGCGGCUGCGGUCCUGCAUCGCCGCCGACUCGGCAUGCUGGAGCUGCCUCUCCGAAGGUGGUUCAUUUUGUGUCCUUCUCUUUGCGUUAUAUGAUUGGUUGAAGGCUGUGGUGGUUGGUUAUAUUUCCGCUGCUUGUUCUUACAUUCUGUGUUCUCUGGUGAUGAAAUGUCCUGCUUUGUUGGUGUGAGAAUUGUGAUGUGUUGCAUUUCUUAUCAAACUCGUCAACUCAUGAGGUUAGGUUAUUGCAUUCUUAUUCCAAAAAUUAUUUUAUAUUUAGUUAGGAAUGCAAAAGUCUAAGAUCUUUGUUGAUCUAGUCAUCUAUACUGAACAUGGUAGAUCAAGUCAUUGGAUUUACAGUACCAAUCUGUUGAACUUGUUAGUUUCAAGAACACUGCAGUGCUUGUUGGCAGUAAAUUAGAAAGUUAGUAUAACCAUUUCUGUCUAGUGUCCAUGAUUUCAAUACAUAAACUCAAGGCAACAGGCAUAGUAUUUAUCUGCAUGUAGGGAAAUCAAGAAUGGAGACUCGCCGUGAAAGGCUAAAAGCCUUUGCCUGACUGAAUGUACUCAUGGCCCUGUUUUUUUCUCAGCCUCUGCAUGUUUCUUUCCUCCUAUCUAUUUGUGGCAUCAUAAAUUCUAAAAGGGCCGUUAAAAAAUUGAAGGGUUUCAAAGCUAUGCAGAAAAUCCAAGCUUUGAUGAAACUAAAGUUGGACAUUUACAGAUUGUUGUCAAAGAUAGUAUCAAAUGACCACAACUAAUAUUUUGGAGUACAUCAAUCGUCAAGUAAUUAUCUUAUAUUUAUCAAAAUCCAUUUUUCAUAACUAAUUUGAUAAUCAUUCUGUUAGGUUUGAUCAAGCGCAUCUGAUCAUGGCUAGGGACGCAAUGUGAAAGAGAAUGGCUCACAUGCUACUGCGUCAUGACAUAAUUUGCAAUAUCUCUCCGUUCUUCUGUAAGGACUAGCGCGUGUCAGCUUGUCUUAGAUAAUUUUCUUAAAGGAAAUUGUAGCAGAAAAAAAGAACUGCAUACAGCCAUGGGAACUUUUGACUUCUGUUUAAGUUUGGCUUUAUCAUUGUAUGAAGUAACAGAACACUCUGAUCAUUCUGGAGAUUGCGGAAGGGUUAUUUUCUAAUUUUGUUGGAACUGGCAAGUGCAUUGAUGACUGUGUUUAAUAUUUGUAGUUGGGAAAUUAUGCAAAGCACCAAACUUAAUUGUCUAUCAGAUCAUGACUGUGUUUAAUAUUUGUAGUUGGGAAAUUAUGCAAAGCACCAAACUUAAUUGUCUAUCAGAUCAUGAACUGAGACCCAUUUUGCAUUCAAAUAAUUGAACCAAAACCACGAAAUAUACUGUGGGGGGUAGAGAUCAUUUUCUGUUUUCUUUGAGUUGUAGUUUGCUAUGUCUAGACUCAGUUUGUUUGGUGACCGUAUCAAGAUGCUUAUUGUAUUGAGGUUUAGAUUGCUUGUCCAUCGCUACCAUAAUAGCAGAUACUAAAUUUUUGACUUCACACACUGUUUGGCAUUUAGUUAUGAGUUGCAUAUUUUACAGUAGCACACAUAUCUUUUUCGAGUCCUGUGAUUUCCUUUGCAUGUUUCUGAUUUUCACAAAAUUCCUACUUCUUUGCACCUUUUCUGAUGGAGCUCUGUUGUUUUGUUUCGAAACGAUGCACUAGACUUUGCUCUCCCUCGGUAAUGAAGGCUGAAGAAGGUGACCAAUUCCAAACAGCGUUGUCUAGCUCUUAUCCAUCUAGUUUCUUUGUUUCUGUACCAUUGCUGGACCAAAUGAGAGUCCAUUAAUUCAGUGAGAGUCAUAGAAAAACGUAUCUGGAAGUACAUUGGUUUCACUUGUGGUUUCUGUUAUUGACGUGCUUUUGGUGAUGAAACGUAUCUGGAAGUACAUGCUUGGUUCUUGUCGAUUGAAAAUUUGUUGUGGUUGGUGCUUUCUUCAAUCUCUAAUAUAUCUUAGACAGAUAAAGAAACUGUUGGGAGCAUGUUCAUGGUCAUCAUUUUACCGAGCAAUCAAAUGAACUGUUAGAUAAAUAACAAUGGAUUCGAUCCUGACAAAAGGGGGCCCUGAAGUUGGAUGGGUGGCACAUGCAGAACUAUUUAAAAUACUCCCUCCGUUCCAAAUUGUACGUCGUUUUGGUAAAUUUAGAUAUAAAAAUUUUGCUAUGUAUCUAGAUAUACACUAUGUCUAGGUGCAUAAUAAAAAUUAUAUAUUUAGAUUUGCCAAAACGACUUAUAUAUUAUAGUUUAGACGCUACAUCUUAUAUGAGCUACCGAAUCAUGUCACCUCCUUCUGACGACGACGAAUAUGAAAAGGUUUCUCCGUGCGGUUUCUUGGAAUAACCACGGAGUAUGCUCCUGACCUGGGCGAGCUGGUCAGAAGAAAGCUUGCUGCAUGUGGGCAUGGCGAGAGCAUCCCUCGCCAUCCGAGCAACCAUCGGGUACUCCGAGCUGUGAGCCUUCCACCACUUGAGAACGUCAAAAUCCUUUGUUGCAGGGGCAAGAGGAUCUUCUUGCAGAUAGCGAUCGAGUUCCGUCUGGGUUCCUGGGUUACGGCUGUUAGACUGAGCCGCCGCCAUGACAUCCUCUGAACGGCAGUGAUCAUUCCAUUCUUGGUCCCAUGGGUCAGCGCUACUUGUGUCCGACAUCGGAUUUGCACUAUCUGACUGAUCUGCACCAUACUCUUCAAUGUAAGCAGCAUACAUGUUAUUGAUCUUUGUCGUCACCUCGGAGACGAAUUUUGCUGCUUCUGAACCAAAGGCUUUUUCGAAACGGAAUCGAAUGUACCUGAGUUUGUACCGGGGGUCCAGUGCAAGUGGUACUGACCAGAUCAGGUACGAAUCUUGUAUAGCCUCGUCUAGAAUGUUACUUGCCCUUAUAAGAACAUCUACGACAUUUUUGCCACGAUAUAAAUUAUUACCAUUUAUUUCUUGAAGCUCUGCGUUGUCUCCCCUAACCCGUGCUAGUUCAGAAUGCAAGAUUUCCCUCGUCUUAAGCAGCUCUGCAAGACACAGAUUCGAAGUGGGAGAGGUGGAGGCAGAAAUUCUCUGAAUGCCGCUGUAUACUUGCUCCCAGACCUUGCACAAUAGUUGUACACGUGGGUCUUCGACUACAAGCUGAACAGCAAAGCCUGGCUUGCUUAGAACCUGCAAAGAACAGUAGCACGCACACCACCUUUCGCCGAAUGCCCAUUCCAAGUCGAGGUCAAGCUCCGAAAGAAGUUGCAGGCGCUCUUGUCUAGUCAAAUUUAAACGGAUCAUGUUCCAGGAAAUAAUGUCCCUAGUGAAAUGUGGAGCUGGAAGAAAGCAUCGAGCAAUCGAGUGAAGCACAGCGUCCACGUAGGUGGCAGUGGUACGACUUAGCUUACUGGCAUAAGAAUUUAUGUCUUGGUCGAUGUAAUCCUUCAGUUCAGGGUGAAAAUCGCAGUCAGUAAUAUCAUAUGCCACCAUGGACAGCCUAUCCUCAUGCUCUGAAAUAACAAUCUCGGCGACAUCAACAGGAUCACCAAACACAGAUGAGGCUCCCGAUAUUGGACCUUCCGAGUCUGCAUCGUCCAUGAAAGCAUCCAGGACGACUUUAUGAAGAUUCCACUGAUCGUCGAUGAAGUGGCAUGCUAUAUAGGUGACUUCCCCUGCCUCGGGUGUUUUAGCUUUACCCACUGCCAAACUGACCCUCCCGGGAGCGCGCCUUAUCCUGGAGAAGGAAUGCCUCCUUGCUUCAUCAAAGAUCCCAUCGCACAUCUCCUCAAUGGCGACGCGCGAGGGCACCUCAAAUUCAGGGUUCAGGCGGCGGACGAAGCUCCUGAAGUAGCCGUCCUCCACGAACGACGGAUCGUACCCGUGCAGCGCGAUCAUCCGAGCAAGGUCCGCACCACUUGCACUCUUGUCUCGGAGGCCAUCAGUCUCCCGAUGACCCCGGGAUGAUGAUCCACGGGAGCGUGACGGGGAAGAAGCGCCGGGUACCGGCGGCCGUGGUGCCCGCCGCGCAGCGGCGGCGGCUUCUUCUCCCCAGCAAAUCCUGACGUGCGUCCACAGGGUGCUGGUGCCGUUCCUGGUGCUCGCGCCGAGCACCAGCUGGCAGCGCGUGCACCGCGCCCUGUCGUUCCCGUCGCCGUCGCUGAAACGGGUGAAGUGCUCGUACACGCCGGACCGCCGCCGGGCCACCCUGCGCGGCCUUCGCCCCGGCUGCCCCUGAACCUGGGCGCUCUGCUCCUCCUCCGCUUCCAUGUCCUUAGCGGAUCGGAGGCUACGCGAUGAUGGCUUCCCUCGAUCCUCCGCUUCCAACCUCGAAUUCGAAAGGCUACCAGCGGAGGGAGAAGAUACGUAUGCGCGGAAGAAAAUCAAGUCACCAAGCUGCUAGCCAUUGGUUGGAGUAAAGGCGGAGAAUUGAAGGGGAACCACGGCUGGCUAGGCUUGUGCAACUUACAAGCUGAUAUAUCGAGCAGUUCGCGGCGGCGGUGGCGCCGGCGCGUCCGGUGCCCGGAGCAGAGGACGCCGUGCGUCUGGGUGGUGCAGCUAGUCGGAAUUGAAGCCGGCCGAUCACCCGCGCGCACAAGGAUAAGGUCAGGCAGAGUCGAUAAGGAAGGAAUGGAUAGGCGCGGCCGUGCGAGACGUUGACUGACUUCGCCGACGACCCCGAUGGAUGACCACGAGGCGGGCCCGACGGGGCGAGCCACGCCUUUGCAGCUGGUUGCGGGCUGAGCUGGGCUAUUUUUGUCUGUUUUCGUUCGUGGGCUGAAAUAGUUGUCUUCGGUCCCAGGGGACACCGCGGUGCGGUUAUACAUCACUUCAGAUGAUGAACAUACUAACACUGGUUAAAUCAAACUGGAUAGAAUAGUAUUCCGAGAAAUCCCCCUUAUUAGAGAAAAUCAUGCAUAUAUACAUGCAGAUGAAGAUAAAGUUGAUGACAUCACCUGCAUGCUAAGAGGUUUCAAAUUUAAAAAAUCAUAACUCUUAAACUGCACAUUCAAUUUAAUUUUUGAUUGCACUACUCUAUAAUUUGCGAUAAAAUCUUCAAAAUAAGAUCACACUUGAACAUGUUUCAAAAAAUUUUACAAAAAAUUAUUUAUCACGUUGAAAAAAUAUUUAAGCAAAAGGAACAAAUAAUGAAUUUCCCCAAACAAAAUAAUAGUAUAUAUUAUUAACAAAAUAAUAGUAUAGUAUGAGCAAAAAAGAAAAAACACUACGAGCAUGUAACCGUAUUUGAUAAAUAUUAGAAAUUGAUCAUCAGAAUGACAUAUACUAUUAUAUAUAAUAAAUAAAUAAUUUAAUAUCGUAAUAAAGAUAGUCUAAGCCGAUGGUUGCACCAUCGAACAAAUAAUUAUACAUGGAGAACAAAUCUAUUCACAUCAUGAACAAAUUAUUUUUUACAUACGAAUAAAAGAUAUCGAUAAUGCGAAUAAAUUAUUUUUACAGACAAACAAUUAUAAAAUUAAAUACAUCCACAUCACAAAUGAAUAUGAUACGUAGCGAACAAAUUUAUCCACAUCACGAACAAAAUUAUAUGUAAUCGGAAUUUUAAUUUCGAUGCAUAUUUUAAGAUUUAUAGGUUUUUUAAUUUGAAACCCUUUGCAUGUGGACGAUGCCAUCAAUUUUUAUCUCCACCUAUAUACAUGCAUCUGGGAGUACUACUUGUGAUAUUACUUUUCCAAUUAAAUUUGUGCAACUGGUGAACUAAAUAUACUAUACGUCUGCUUGUGUUGGGCUAACAGCCCAUUUAAUCACCGUCUUGGGGUGAUGGUUGUUGGUUUUAUCGCCUCUAGCUAUAUAUAAUCGCACCCUCCGGCGUCGUCAUUAGCUCACCAUGGUGUUUGCAUCCUUAGUCUACUUAUAUAUUAGACUAUUCAAUAUGGUUUACGUACUCGCGGUGAUUAGAUGUAGCCUGCCAAUAUUUCAUAAUAGCUACGUACAAGCUCCUAUAUUUGUGCCGUUGAGACCUCUCGCGCAGAACGGUAGAAUCGUGAUAGCGGUAGGACAGUCGUUCCGGGCAUUCCGGGCGGGAUGCGUACUCAAGAGCACACGCAGACAAGUAGUUUUGGUGCCGCAAGAGCUGCGACUUUCUGGACUCCAUUGAACAAUUAUGGACGUACCAUUACAUAAUAAAGAGUACAUAGGAGGGGCGGGCACACGACGUCAGGUGAAUCACUCCCGCUCUGCACGUAUUCGUGCCCGAGCUUAUUGGUAAAUAAAUGGUACUCCCUCCGUUCCAAAAUGAAUGCAGUUUGUUUUGAUUUUUUAGAUUCAUAAUAUUUGCUAUGCACCCAGAUAUGAUAACAUAUAUCUAGAUGCAUAGUAAAAUAUAUUAAUAUAAAAAAAACUAAAACGACCUAUAUUUUGAAACAAAGAGAGUAGCAAUAAAGACGCGCUCGUCUCAAACAAACUGAUGAAAACAGGAGCUUGAAUAAAAUGCAGAAAUAAUCCAACACUUAUAUGAGCUACUAUAUUAAAUCAUGUCACCUCCUUCUGCUGACGACGAAGAUGAAAAGGUUGUAUCUCCGUACGGUUUCUUGGAAUAACCACGAAGUAUGCUCCUGAACUGGGCGAGCUGGUCAGAAGAAAGCUUGCUGCAUGUGGGCAUGGCGAGAGCAUCCCUCGCCAUCCGAGCAACCAUCGGGUACUCCGAGCUGUGAGCCCUCCACCACUUGAGAAUGUCAAAAUCCUUUGUUGGAUGUUCAGGACGAUCUUGCAGAUAGCGAUCGAGUUCCGUCUGGGUUUCUGGGUUACGGCUGUCAACCUGAGUCACCGUGAAAUCCUGUGAAAGGCAGUGCUCAUUCCAUGCUUGCUCCAAUGGAUCUGCUCUAGUAGUGGCCAUUGUCGCAUUGGCACCAUCUGAAUGAUCUGCAUCAGUGCUUGUACGAUACUCUUUAAUGUAAUCUGCAUACAUCUUGCUGAUCGUAUUGGUCACCUCGGUGACGUAUUUUGCGGCUUCUGAACCAAACGCUCUUUCGAAACAGAAUUCAAUGUACUUGACUUUGUACCUGGGGUCCAGUGCAAGUGGUACUGACCAGAUCAGGUACGAAUCUUGUAUAGCACUGUCCAAAGCGUCACUCGCCUCUCUAAGAACAUCUACGGCGAUGUUAUUAAAAAACCAAUCAUAUUGUAUUUGAACCUCUUCGUCUUCUCCAUUGAGCCGGGCUAGUUCAGGCUGCAAAAUUUCCCUCAGCUUGAACAACUCUGCAAGACACAGAUUCGAAGUGGGAGAGGUGGAGGCAGAAAUUCUCUGAAUGCCGCGGUAUACUUGCUCCCAGACCUUGCACAAUAGUUGCUCACAUGGCUCUGUGCCUUCAAGCUGAUCAGUAAAGCCUCGCUUGCGAAGAACCUGCAAAGAACAGUAGCACGCACACCAGCUCUCGUCGAAUGCCCAUUCUAAGUCGAGGUCAAGCUCCGAAAGAAGUUGCAGGCGCUCUUGUCUAGUCAAAUUUAAACUGAUCAUGUUCCAGGAAAUGUGGCUAGUGAAAUGUGGAGCUGGAAGAAAGCAUCGAGCAAUCGAGUGAAGCACAGCGUCCACGUAGGUGGCAGUGGUACAACUUAGCUUAUUGGCAUCAGAAUUUAUGUCUUGGUCGAUGUAAUCCUCCAGUUCAGGGUGAAAAUCGUCGUCAGUAAUAUCAUAUGCCACCAUGGACAGCCUAUGCACAUGCUCUGAAAUAACAAGCUCGGCGACAUCAACAAGAUCAUCAACCACAAAGACUCCCAAUAUUGGACCAUCCAUGGCAUGAUUCUCUGCAUCGACCAUGACAUUCAGGACGACUUUAUGAAGAUUCCACUGAUCAUCGAUGAAAUGGCAUGCUACAUAAAUGACUUUCCCUGCCUCGAUGGUUUUAGAUUUACCCACUGCCAAACUGACCCUCCCAGGAGCGCGCCUUAUCCUGGAGAAGGAAUGCCUCCUUGCUUCAUCAAAGAUCCCAUCGCACAUCUCCUCAAUGGCGACGCGCGAGGGCACCUCAAAUUCAGGGUUCAGGCGGCGGACGAAGCUCCUGAAGUAGCCGUCCUCCACGAACGACGGAUCGUACCCGUGCAGCGCGAUCAUCCGAGCAAGGUCUGCACUACUUGCACUAUCAGUCUCCCGGCGACCCCGGGAUCCACGGGAGCGUGACGGGGAAGCGCCGGGUACCGGCGGCCGUGGCGCCCGCCGCGCAGCGGCGGCGGCUUCUUCUCCCCAGCAAAUCCUGACGUGCGUCCACAGGGUGCUGGUGCCGUUCCUGGUGCUCGCGCCGAGCACCAGCUGGCAGCGCCUGCACCGCGCCCUGUCGUUCCCGUCGCCGUCGCUGAAACGGGUGAAGUGCUCGUACACGCCGGACCGCCGCCGGGCCACCCUGCGCGGCCUUCGCCCCGGCUGCCCCUGAACCUGGGCGCUCUGGUCCUCCUCCGCUUCCAUGUCCUUAGCGGAGGCUAUGGCUUCCCGCGACUCGACCUCGAAACGCUACUAGCGGAGAAGAUGCAUACGGCGGACGGGAUUAAUUUACCAGGCUAGGCAUGGGGAUGAAGGCGAAGAAAGGAAAUCACGGCUAGGUCUGGGAACUUACAAGGUGGCCGAUCGAUGAGCUAGAGCCGCAGCUUUCCCGCGGCUGCGGCGGCGCGGAGGCCGGCGGCGUGCGUCUGGACGUCUGGUGGUGCGGCCGGCAACACAAGGUUUGGUAGAGACGUAGAGUCGAUCGGAAGGAAUCGUAGGCGCUGGCAAGCCGGAGAGUUUGACCGGCUUUGCCGACGACCACGAGGGCGGGGCGAGCGACGACUUUGCAGGUUGCGGGCUGAGCUGGGCUAUUUCUGGGUCCUCUGUUUUUCGUUCGUGGGCCGACGUAGUUGUUUUGGGCCAUCACGGCCUUCCAACGCACGAAACCACUAAGCCCUUUCUGCUGCGGCGCCAGCCACCUCCGCCGCCGUGAACAUGAGCCGGGCAGGGCAAAUCAGAGGACCGGUUUGACCUUCGAUCCAAUGAAUGAUCGCGGUGGAUCGGAGCAGCGGGUCAGCUACAGCUAUGAUCUGCUCAGAGGAAAGCUAGCUUGCUCUGCAUGUGGGCAUGGCCGCAGCAUCCUUGCCAACCGAUCCUUCGUCUGCUAGUUCCAGCUAGCUGCUGCGUCCUUCCACCACUUCAGAACGUCAAGAUCGUGUGCUGAACGGGCGGCAGCAACGGUCGAGUUCUGUCCGGGCUUCUGUUUGGCGAUGCACAUCCCAUGCUUGGUGCUGUAACUGUAAUGCAUCAGCGACGCUGCCAAGCACGACCAUCGCAGAGAACACCACCACCACCAUGUCCAACAUAGUCCGUGUAAAUCUCGUCCAUCUUACCUCAUCAUCAGAAAUGGAAGCAGCAGCUUGGCAGCCAAAAGCUCUUUGGAAACAUCCCAAAAACUUGUUGGAGGCCAUUAUUGCUCCACAAGUCCAAACAUAUAUUGCAAACAUUCAUGUAACGAACUUUUAUUUUUUUAUGAAAAAGACUGCAGAGCACUGCGCUAUCAUUUAAAUAGAGGCGAGUUUAAAAUUUUCUAACAAAUAGUUAUUACAUACAAGAUAGAAGGUCACACAACAGAAUGCAGGAAAGCGACGACAUAGAUAAACUAAAAAUGCUCAUGGCCUCCACUUGCCCUCUUGCGCAGCAAGAUUUCCUCCUUUAUCUCGUACUCCACCUGAAUAGCAUGCAUCCAUGGACUUCCCUUCAAAGACGCGCCGGUUUCUCUCUUUCCAAAUAUCCCAAACCGUAUACAUGAGGAGCGCAGCCUUUCACUCUUCUUGUUGUCUUAGGCAAGUGCCGAAGUGACGCUUCAAUUCCCACCAUCAGUCUUGCACCUCUGAAUGCUGAUCCGGCAUCUGAACAAUCCCUUCUGGCCAAGCACUUAAGGCCAUUACUUUAAACAUGCGAACCGCUUCCUGAGUCCGGAACUUUGUGGGUUAAGGUGGCGAUGAGGGUGCUCACUAGCAGGAACAUGAGCAGGUAGGAGAGGUGCCUUGCAUGGAGAGUGAGCGCCACAGUUCUCACCGUUGUGGCCAUCAUGAGGUAGAGGCCAAGGACAAUGGUGAAGAAGAAGAAGAAACCAAUGGUGAGUUCAUUUGGCCCUCCCAUGUAGCGUGCAAAGAUCAAGCUGACGAGGCCACCAAAGUUCACAAUGCCAGCCGACAAAUUGAAGAUGCCGUCAAGAUCUUGAUCAGUUUCUUGGUUGUUGGCAGUGUUGUUCACGGCUGGAACAGCUUCAUCUUCGGUGUCGGCAUUCAGAUGACCAGUUUCAAUGUCUCUGUUGAGAGCUCGAGAAGACCUGUUGAGUUGGAGGAGGGCGAUAACAACGGGGAUCGGCACGGGGAGGAUGGCGUAGCUGUAGCCCUCGUUGAACGAGAUGAGCAGGAGGUACGACACUAGCACCAGAAGGAACCACGAGAGGUAGGUCAAGAGACUGCCCCACUUUGGUGGCCUGGUCAUGCAGACGAGGUCAGCGGGCACUGCGAGGAAGAAGGCUGCCAUGGCGACCUUGAAGGUCGUUUUCGUACUGGAGGCAGACGGAGCAUCCACGUAUGCCAAGAAUGUGGUGAUUGCAAAGGGGAGCGCCUGCUUCGAGUACGCUGCGCAGCGUUUCUGCUGCUCCUCGAUCUGGUCGGCCGGGGUGAAGCGGACGGCGAUGCCCUGCUUGUGUUACAGAAAAGAAAGAUCAGGUACUUGGAUCUACGGAGGAAAAGAAAUUAGCUAGUCGACCCGAGAGUGCAGGGAACAAGAAGAACCUACCUUGCAAGUGUCGGCAGCUAGCGUUGUGAUGGGCUUGAUCUGCUUGACAACAACGCCCGAAGCAGUUUUCCGUCCCCUGCAGACCGUGGCAUGCCUCCGCAGGGUGGACGGGCCGUAUUUCCUAGCAUCUGCGGGCAACACCUUCUGGCAGCGCUCGCACCGCGCCCUGUAGUUCCCGUCGUCAUCUCUGAAAUGAGUGAAGCUCUCGAUCUUCCACGCGGCGGACGCGUGCAUCGUGGUGCGUGCCCUUUGCCUUGGCUGCCCCUGCCCUUGUGUGUUCUCCGCGAUCUCCUUUUGCCUUACCAGAGACUACUGCAGGCUGGUUUCCCUCGAUCCCCUUUGUUCUUCCACCCUCGACCUCGAAACACUAGAAGCGUCUAGCGGAGAAGAUACACAUAUACGGGCGGAAGAAAAUCAAGUCACCGUGCUAUCGAUUACCAAUUGGAGUAAAAGGCAUAGAAGGGGGGAUAGGCAACUUACAAGCUGAUCGACCGAGCACGCAGGUAGCGGCGCCGGCCGGCGGCUUGUUGCUCGCGCCUUCGUGGCGGCGGCCGGACGGAGGAGACGACGGAGCAGGGCCGGGGGCGUGCGUCUGAUUGUGCCUGUGCAGCUGCUAGUCGGAAGGGCUAGGAGACGCUGUCAAAGCAGACGUCAGCGGAGACGUUGACUGACUUCUUUGCAGACGACCGCCGAAUACCCGAUGGCCACGAGGCGGGCCUGGUGGGGCCGAGCGACGCCUUUGCCGGUUGCGGGCUGAGCUGGGCUAUUUUUGUCUCCUCUGUUUUCAUUCGUGGGCCGAAGUAUUUGUUUUUUAAAAAAAUUAAAAAAAUAAAUUUGAAAAAGAGGUGCCGAUUUGAAAAAUUUUCAAAAAUAGAUACCUCCCGCCCAUCCAACGGGCGGGAGGUGCCAAAUAAUUUUUCAGACCUCUCCUGAUUGUCUCUUCGCGAAUAAAUUUUUUUUUAUUCGUAAAUAUUCGUGAAGAAACCCCUCCCGUGGUGUCAAAACACUUUGCUUUCCGGGCAGAGCGUCUCGCCGCUCAUCGCUGUCCUCCUGGCCGGUCACUUCUACUGCUGGGUUGUACGAGAACCGAACACCUCGCUGCUCCUACUCCUGACUAGCAGGCUAGCACCACUAGACUCCGAAACUUUCGCUGAUUGAGAUGUCACGUAGUCACUCCCUACCACAGAGCAGUGGUUGCGCUAGGCUUGCUAGCAAGUCCUGCUAGCCAUGCAUAGGCUAUCAGUGUAGGCAUCAUGUAGAUCCAAUGACGUACGGGUGCUAGUGCCACUCUUCCGCUGGCUUCACAGUACGUCGAUCCAAUCGCCCCAGAGCCACCACACGCGUCAACUGAAGCCGUGGAAAGAGAAGAUGCUGUCCUUCCUUGCCCGGUUUCACCGCGUCGUAUGCGCCGUUUUCUUCCGAUUCGCGAUCGAUCCUAUUUCCCCGAUACGUCGGCGAUCGAGCGUUCACUGUGGGCGAGAAAACGACAGCGCCAUGUAACCCAGCAGCAGAAGUGACCGGCCAGGAGGGCAGCGAUGAGCGUCGAGACGCCCCGCCCGGAAAGCAAAGCGUGGGCGUCUGGGCACCUCCCGCCCCAACAGGGCGGGAUGCCGAAGAAAAGUUUCGAGAUCCUUGUGAGGGGUCUAAAAAAAAUUUGGUACCUUCCGUUGGAUGGACGGGAGGUGUUCGGCCUCACGCUUUCCGCCCGUUGAUCGGACGGGAGAUACUUAUUUUUGAAAAUUUUUCAAAUCGACACCUUUUUUCCAAAUUUAACUUUUUUAACCCUUUUUUUAAAAAAAUUCUGUCUUGAGCCGUCCUGGUCCUCCAACCCACGAAGCCAAUUGAGCCCUUUCUCGACCUGGGCAGCCGCGCCGAGAAAGUAUCCCGACGCAAGCUUCUUCGUGCACGCGCCUCCCACGAGCCAAGGGGCCUGCACCGCACGCACCCUCGUUAACUGCUUGAUGAACGAACUGGAUGGGUUUGCACGUGAUUAUGGAGUGAGGCGGCUGCAAUCAGCCAUUGUCAUCACCGACCAUUCCUGCUUCUGCUGCCUGAAUAAUGCAUCGAGGUCAGAUCACAAAGCAUUAAAAAUCCAUGUUUUUGCCCCCUCCAGAUCGAACUUGUCCUCUCAAAUCGUGAUCUAUGGACGAUACGGCCAUUGAUAAAUAGCACUGAUCGCCUGUCCUCCAUUCUUCAGGCCUGCCUCCCUUGUGCGUUCUUUCUGCUAUAAAAGCGACAAGCACCGAGAAAAAAGAGGAGAAUAUGAUCCACCAUCCAUGGUGCAGAGGGUCGUCGUCAGGCACGGCUCCGCAGCUGCGGGCGAUGAUGGCGAGGGAGGCCAAGAGGAGGCGGCGGCGGCGCGGCGACGCGAUCAAGAUGCAGAUGCUGCGCUGCAGCGACCAGGGCCGCCGCCGCUUCAAGCGCGGCUACCUCGCAAGCGGCUGCGGCGGCGACCGGGGCGACGCCGCGGACUCGGCCGUCUUCUGCCUCGCCGUCUGCACCGCCGCUCGGCCCUCCUCGAUCGCGUCCGGAGUCAUGAGGUAGUACGUAACUAGCUAGCUAUAGAUGGAUGGCAACGGAUAAUAUCCUUGCGGAUAUUAACUUUGUAUAUCCGUAUCCGCGUACUAAAAUCCGUACCCGCACCCGCGCCCGCAACCCGCCACGGGCACGAAACCACGCCCGUAACCGCUAUCCGCGGAUAUCCGCGUACCCGCGGGCACGCCCGUACCCGCAAACUUUAGAAAAUCAAGCACAUAUUAUAUUUCAACAGCAAGUAAACACUAUUUAUUUUACGAGAUAAAUAAAUCUAGGCAAAUAAAUAAACUGGUCUCAUAUAUGAAUACAUGAUACAUCACACAUUAACAGAAACAAUCAUAUGCAACCAUACAAGAGUCCGUGUUCAAAACCAUUAUUACAUAAAAGUCCAAUUGAGCAAAUAUUAGAAAUCAUUAGUCGGAAUCAACAGUGCUGAUGCAAGAAUCCUUCAUAUCUUCUUGAAUAUCUUCAAGACAUGACCAGAAGCUAUUGACCCUCCCAUCACCGUCAUCUACAAACAAGUUUCAUAUAUAUUAGUAGAUACAAUUUACAGGUCUUAUAUUAAAAAUACAUUCUAGAGUACUACCUUUAAGAGUAUGACGAAGCCAACUUUGACCACAUAUCAAAGCCUCCAACAUUUUAAGAGUAAGACGACUGCGAUGCUCACUCAAAAUCCUUCCACUAGUGCUAAAAGCUGAUUCCGAAGCUACUGUUGUGAUUGGAAUAGCUAAGAUGUCACGAGCAAUUUGCCUCAAAAUGGGAUACCGAGUCCUCUCCAACUUCCACCAACUAAGGAUAUCAAAAUAUUCAUUCUCAUCAUGAGGAAGAGUUUCUUCAUCCAAAUAGCGAUCUAGCUCAUUCUUACUUCUAACAAAGCUAGUAAUCUUCUUAUUGGCAGCAAGGAUUUUAAAAAUAGACAACACACCAGCUGCAUCAACUGAAAAACUAGCACCACUAGAUGAUGUACUAACAAACUCUUGUUCCUUAACAUGGUAUUGUUUCAUCAAAUCAGAUAGCAAUUCAUGGGCCUCUGUCACAUAAAUUUCAGCAUGUUCUUCACCAAAAAGGGCAAUAUAGCAAGCAUGUAACAUUAUCAUCUUAAGACGUGGAUCAAGAAUGACAGCAACAGCCAUAAGACCAUGUAUAUCAGUCCAAUACUUAUCAUACUUUUCUAUCAUGGCAGCAGACAUUUUUCUAAUUGUUUCAUAUUCAUCAUGCUCCCAAGAUUUGAUCUUAAGUUUAAUCUCACAUACUUUAGGGAAGAAAAGGUUGGCUGUCACAUAUUUAGUCCCAGAAAAUAACUCAGUAAGGUCAUAGAAUAAUUCUAAUUUCUCACAAACUAUACUAGCAAAUAUCCAAUCAUUUGGUGGUGGACAAACAUAGUUCCUAUCAAGCUCAUCCAAGCGUUCAAAAAUCUUUCUAUAGGGUAUAGCAAUUCUAAGCAUGACAUAGGUUGAGUUCCAUCUAGUUUUGCAAUCUAGUUGCAACUUCUUGACCAAUUCAACAUUUUCAUCUAAAGCUAUUUUCUCAAACUUUUCAUACCUCUUUGGUGUAGCAACCCAAUAAGCAAUACUGUCUCGGAUGUUUGAAACGGCACUUCCAAUGACGUCCAUGCCAUCUUUGACGAUGAGGUUGAGAAUAUGUGCGCAGCACCGCAUAUGCAGCCAUUUACCCCUCAAAAGCAUAUUAGCUGCACCAAGCCUUUGAAAGCAUUUAGACCCCUAAAUUGUGUUUUGGUAAUUAAUGAUAACUAUAAGUGGACUAACUGCUUCAUUGAGAUUUAUGAGUGUAGGAUGGUUCAUAAAUGAAUAGUUGAAAAGGAGCGAAUGGCGCAAGGAUCUAAGAAGAGACUCAAAACGGAUAGCUCGAAGCAAAGGUAUAACAUAGGAAUUUUAUUUUUGCCGGUCCAAAGAAGAGUAUAGAAGAAUUCGACCGGGUUUUUAGGCUAGAUAGCCGUACUAUUAAGAGGGGCUGAUGUUAGUUUGCUUGAAAAUUUGCUAAGUGCCUUAUGAUCGAGUCUUUGCAUUGCGUACCUUGAGAAACAGAGCACAUGAGAGAAAAGGUGCACACAUAGCUUGGUUUUCGGCACUUCACGUCUGAACCGGACUGUCCGGUUCUUUACAUCGGACAGUCCGGCACCCCCGGACAGUCCGGUCCAUUACACCGGACAGUCCGGUCCAUUACAUCGGACAGUCCGGUUUUCCUCCAACUUCUGGACAGAAAGUUUCGUCAAAUCGGACUGUCCGAUCCUGUAUGGCGGACUGUUCGGUUUGGCUGUAACGGCUAUGUGGCAGAACCAACCUGAAUUAUACCGGCUCAAGUACGCGAGUCCUCACUGAAGGGCUACCUCGUACUUCAAACGGUAUAAAACUAUUGGUCUGUCGGGUAACGUCCCGAUAAACCACCGAACGCAGGAUCCAACAAGGUACCUCACACGAAGGUGAGUCCAGAGAUAUAAUGCCAAAAUAAUUUACACCACAGGCAGUUAUAUUACAAGGAUAUAUAAAGUAACAUUAGCUCCCACUAAGGAGAGAUUAUUACAAAACAAGUUCAGGUUUCUAGUCAAAGCAGCGGAGUUUGAAAAGCGUAGUCAUUAUACACGUCGUCAUUACAGAUAUUAUGCUAGCCUUGGCAUAAUAUCACUCGGCGGAAUCUGUGUUGGCCGGGGACGGAUCCCAUUCCACGGACCAACCAUCAGGCAAGGGGUAGGGCCACGGUGUAAUGAACGCUGGCUCAUCAGAAGAAUUUCCUGGAGUAAAUCAACAAAAGCAAGGCUGAGUAUACUAAUACUCAGCAAGACUUACCCGGAAUUGGGUAUAUCUUAGCCCAUAACUAGACUCAUGAUGGCUUUUAGCUUUGGGUAGGGUUUUUAGCUGAAAACCAACAAAGAGUAGAUCCUUAUUUUCAACUUUUAGCUUUCAGGUUCUAGUUGAUUAACCAUUCUAGGUAAGCACCUAUAACUACUCAAGUAUGGUAGAAUCUUUAUUCAAACAUCAUCUUGAAUAAUCACAUAAUUGCUCUUGUUACUCUAUGUGAUAAAGGGGAUAAGCAGUCUCAUACAUCGUGAGAGGCGGACGAUUCUGAAUCGAGAUUCAACCCUUGCAAGGUAAACCUAACUCACACGCUUGGAACACCACAGGGUUGUUCCGAAGCAACCGUUUGCCUUUCAUUCCGACUCGUGGAUCAGUGCCACCACAAGCGACUGCAGGUCAUACGCACUUCCAAAGUGCAGGACGUACGUCUGUAGCGCGACUACAAAACCCGUACUCCUGGUUGCCCAGCAACACGUAUGCCUACACGUCGAACAAAGUAACCAAAAGAAGCAAAUACAUGUGGUGGGUGGUAUGUCCACUCCUCGGGCCGAUCGGUUACUAGGCUUACCGCUUACCAUAUUUCACGGCAUGUGGCUAGUACUUUCAAACGCUUAACCACCGCUACCACACACUGCGACCUUAACAAAUUCAUCAACACAGACGGGGUAUCAUCUUGACCAUGAUACCUCAUAAAACUCCCGUCCGGCAUCCUUAUAGUGAUAGCAGGAAUGUAAACAUUACAAUUCCUAAAUCGCGCGAGUGACAGGAAAUCACUCGACUUGUACCGGUCCUAUAAGCAGAGCAGCUAGUCGGACUCAAGUUCUAGUGUUCAAUACAUUGGUUCCUAGAAUAAUGCAACUAAGUUUCCAAACAACUCCUAGAACGUAAUGCAUAAAGAGAUAUAUAAAUAAUAGCAUAGGUUACAGUGUAAUAAAGUAGGGGUUAUGUCCGGGGCUUGCCUUCGCUGGUAGGGUUAGGGUUAGUCAAACUAUUUUCUUCCGAACCUUGGUUCGGGGCUUCAGAGAAAUCCGCGACGAGAUUCCCGGGGUCUUCAGAAUAAACUUCUUCUUGUUCCGGGAUCAGCUGAUAAUCCCCGUCAGCGAGAGUGGUCGAGUCUAUAUGAAAUGCAAAAAUUACAAGUUAUGGAAUACUUUUACUUUUAUUUUACUUCCCGAUAAAGUUGCAAUCCAAAAUAAUUAACAUGUCAUUUUGAUAAAUUUCCUAACUACCCAGUACUGGGCAGUCAUUUAUCGAGUAUUAAUUAGUUCACUUAGAUACAUUAAACAGUAAACCUAAUUACGUUAAGUAUCUAUCUAGUGGCAUGAGGCAACAGGUGGGGUGGUUCCUAACAUUUAUAUUAAAGGCUUUAUAUAAUGACUAUACUAAUUACUUAUAUGAACUUGAGUUACCAUUACAUUAUAAAUCAACUAUAUUAUAUCUAAAUUAUUUAAUACCUAACCCUUGGUUGGAAACUUAAUAACAUGUUACAAUAUUACAAAACAGAACCUUAAUCUAUUUUCAUGAUUUUUGAACAUUUAAAAUUGUAUUUAUUAAUUAUACUAAAGAAACUACUCCUUAUUUCUAAUAAAACUUAUACCAUAAGAAAAUAAUACUACCAUACCAUGAUGAUUAUUUUUCUUCAAUUCUAUAUGUUAAAAGAGAAUUAUCAUCACUAGUUUUACUAUUUUAUCAUUUUUCUAUGAAUUACUAUGCAUUUCCAAAGCCUACAAGCAACUAGAUUUAAUAUUUAAAUUAGAUCACCAAGCAUACAGAAACUGAAGUUGAUUCUUUAAGUAAAGUUGUAGAUCUUUAUCUGAGGAUUCCAACAAAAUUUAGUUUGCAAUUUUAUGAGUUUUCCUCGAGGAGAUAUAGUAUUUCUAAGUUGGCAGCAAUAUUUACAUAAGGAGGUCCCUCGGUACUAUUCAUCUGAGUCUACUCCUUUGCACAAAACCCCCUCGACUUCUAUUCCUUCUAACCCGAAGUCCUUGGCCGUGAACCCGAACAGAGCAAGUUGGAGGCGACCGUGUUCCGGCGACGGCGGUCACCGGCGGCGAGGUCCAAGUGCAGGGAUAGGGUCAGGAGCUUACGGUGAUCCCGUUGCUCCACUUGUCGAGGGCUGGGACGGCCGGAAAGAGGGAUCCCGAUGAGGACCCGAGGCGGCGGCGGAGGGGUCGACGGCGACGAGGGUGCUCCGGCUAUGAACGUUGGCCAAGAUCCUGCGCACGAGAACCGGUGAGUCCCGGGGAACGUGUACGUGCAAUUAAUUGAAUGAAAACACGCUGGAUCAAGGGGAAUCGACGGAGACCGAUGCGGCGGCGGCGAGGAAGAACACCGGCGAGCGUCGGGAAGGCUCUGUGGUGCACUAGGGAACCAAUGGAUGGGUCGAACAGCUUCAGGACGAUGAUGUGGUGCUGGCCAGAGAGUCGUGGUGGCGUGAGAGUACCCGGAGCGAGCUGCCCACGGUGGAGGCCGAAAGCGGCGGCGGCGGCGGCGCUCGUCGGGGACAAGGCUUCAGUGGAAAUUGGGGAAAAUCAGUGGGUCGUCGAGCACGAGCAAGACACGGGAAAGCUGGUGCGGGUGUUGGUUGGGGCGGAGGAGGUCCGGUGUGGGCUGCCCACGGGCGUGCCGUGCGCGGCCGGAGUGGAACGGGACGGCGGCGGCGGAAUGCAGCUCGGGCGCUCGAAAUUGGGCUCUCGGAGUAACAGAAUAGGCCGUGUGUGUUGAAGUAAUGUUGCUGCGCACGAGAGAGAGUGAGUUAAGGCACCAGGAUGGCCUGUCCACGGUGACCAGGAGGUGGCGGCCGGCGAGGGCCUCGGGUUGCCGUGGCGCGCGCGCGUGAGGCCAGGAAGGGAGGGGAGCAGAAGUGGAGAAGGCAAGGAGCGACGCGUGGAAGAGAAAUCCAGCAGGAGGUGGUGCUCGGGAAGCUGUGCCGGCGGUGGGCGGCGGCGACAGGAGCAGAGCAGAAGGGGGAAGCGGCGGGGUCAGAGGAAGACGAAGCAGGGAGGUGUCAGGGGAUCUAUUUGCAAUUCUCAAAAAGUUCAGGGACCCCACUGUAAACUAAAAUUUUUCUACUGCUACAAAGGUCAAAUGAAAAAGUGCUCAACAUGAAAGUUGUAGAGUUUUUCAAACUCUACAAUAUUACUUUAAGGCUUGGGUUUAAAAUCUUAAAGGGUACGGUUUUAUUUUGAAUUUUUGAACACAAUUCAAAUUAUAAACUUUAUGUGUUAAUUAAAAUAAAAUGCCCUAAUGUUUGGGGUCUUUUUGUAAGUUCUUCUGCAGUAAUCAUGACUAGCUCUUUUUACACUUUAGUCCUUAGGUAAAACUAAGUUUUACUUUUAUCUUUUACCCUUUCACAUGUAAAUCCUUAUAUUUUUGUAUUAAUUACAUAAAGGUCCUUAAUUUCAUAUAAAGUCUAUUCCCCUUAAGUUUAUUUAACUUUUGCUCUUUUCUUUUCUAUAGCCAUCUGAAAUUUGACACUUAAGAACAUUUUCACACACUUGCACAUAAGAAUUUAUAAAACUCAUGAUUUACAAAUACACCCCUAUUCCUUUAUACAAACCUUAACAUACAUACAACACACUAAUACCUAGUGUCCAGAUUCUAAUUACAGGAAUGUUACAGCCUUCCCCCCUUAAAAAGAAUCUCGUCCCGAGAUUCCGAAGUUGAGUAGAACAGAAUGAUUAGAUUUGGGGAUUGGCUUGAAGGAAGUCUGGAAAAUUCCGUUGAAGAUAAGACUCAGUUUCCCAAGUCGCUUCUUCUUCGGUGUGAUGAUCCCAUAAGAUCUUGUACAUCUUAACUACCCUUCUUCUGGUGAAUCUUUCCUUAGUAUCCAGAAUUCGAAGAGGUUGCUCGAUGUACGAUAAAUCGGAUUCAAUCUCAAUGGCACAUGUCUCAACGAUUUCCGUGGGUACUUUGACACACUUCUUAAGUUGAGAGACAUGGAAGACAUCGUGAAUAGCAGCCAAUUGAGACGGAAGACGAAGUUUGUAAGCCACUGGGCCACAAACAUUUAAAAUUUCGAAGGGUCCGACAUAUCGAGGUGCUAACUUCCCCUUUAUGCCAAAACGUUGGACACCUUUAGUUGGAGACACUCGGAGAUAGACAAAAUCUCCUAUUUGAAAUUGUAGAGGUUUUCUCCUCUUAUCUGCAUAACUCUUUUGUCUGGACUGAGCGGUUUUAAGAUUAGAUUGAAUAAUCUUAACCUUAUCUUCGGCUUCAACGACUAGGUCUGGUCCGAAAAUCUUGCGUUCACCGGUCUCUGACCAACUCAAAGGAGUUCGACAUCUGCGACCAUAUAACGCUUCGAAAGGAGCCAUUUGAAGACUAGCUUGAUAACUGUUGUUGUAAGCAAAUUCAGCUAGAGCAAGGCACUUGUCCCAGCUUGCACCAUAGUGAAUAAUACAAGCUCGGAGCAUGUCUUCAAGGAUUUGGUUAACUCGCUCAGUCUGCCCAUCAGUCUGGGGAUGAUAUGCAGAGCUUCGAAUCAAUUUGGUUCCUAGGGCUGAUUGUAACUACUCCCAGAACCGUGCGAUAAAUUGGGGCCCUCGAUCAGAGAUGAUGGUUUUUGGAACCCCAUGCAAUCGAACGAUUUGUUCCAGAUAGACCUCGGCAUACUUCUUAGCAGAGUAAGUGGUAUGCACCGGAAGAAAAUGAGCUGUUUUUAUGAGUCUAUCUAUGAUCACCCAUAUGGAGUCAUGUUUUUAAGAUGUGUUGGGAAGACCGACAAUGAAAUCCAUGCUAAUGUCUUCCCAUUUCCAUGACGGAAUGGGUAAUGGCUGAAGCGUACCAGAGGCUUUUAAAUGGCUAGCUUUAACUCUCUGGCACGUAUCACACUCGGAUACAUAUUUGGCAAUUUCUCUCUUCAUUCUGGUCCACCAAAAAUAUUGCCGAAGAUCUUGAUACAUCUUGGUGCUACCAGGAUGAAUAGAGAAUUUGGACAAAUGUGCUUCGUCAAGGAUUUGCUUACGAAGUUGAUGAUCCUUAGGCACAACAAUCCGAUCGUUGAACCAUAGGACUCCUUGAUGAUCAGUGUGAAAACACCGAUAUUUAGCUUCUCCCUGGGAUAGCUUGGAUUUGAUAAUUUUGACACCCUCAUCACGUAGCUGCGACAUGAUGAUUUUAUCCCGCAGAGUAGACUCAACGGAAAUCAAGUUUAAACCACCUUGGGGAAUAAUCUCAAGAUUGAGUCUCCUCAUUUGAUGGCAAAGAGUGUCAUUUAAGGUGGAUAUGGUUAAGCAAUGACAAUGUGACUUGCGGCUAAGUGCAUCCGCAACCACAUUAGCUUUGCCCGGAUGAUAGUGUACCUCAAGGUCAUAAUCUUUGAUUAACUCCAACCAACGCCUUUGCCUCAUAUUUAGAUCAGCUUGAGUGAAAAUAUACUUGAGGCUCUUAUGGUCAGUGUAAAUGUUACACUUAGCACCCAUAAGAUGAUGUCUCCAGAUCUUGAGAGCAUGAAUAACUGCUGCCAAUUCAAGAUCAUGUGUUGGAUAAUUUUGCUCAUGAGUCCGAAGUGCGCGGGAUGCAUAAGCAAUAACCCGGUUGUUUUGCAUAAGAACACAACCAAGGCCAGUUCCAGAAGCGUCACAAUAGACAUCAAAAGGCUGGGUACUAUCUGGCUGAGCUAGUACUGGAGCAGUCGUUAGAAGUUUUCUCAAGGUGUGAAAUGCUUCCUCACACUUAUCAUCCCAACGGAACUUAACUUCUUUCUUGAGUAGCUCAGUCAUAGGUUUAGCUAUCUUGGAGAAGUCUGGAAUGAAUCGGCGAUAAUAUCCUGCCAAUCCAAGAAAACUUCAGAUUUGAUGGACUGAAGUGGGAGGGUUCCAGUCCAUAACUUCUUGAACUUUAGUUGGAUCAACUGAUAUGCCUUGACUGGAGAUAGUAUGUCCCAAAAAUUUCACACUAUCCAGCCAGAAUUCACAUUUCGAGAAUUUGGCAUAAAGGCGAUGAUCACGUAGUCGUUGAAGAACGACACGUAAAUGAUUAGCAUGGUCUUCUUUGGUUCUGGAGUAUAUCAUAAUAUCAUCGAUGAAGACCACACGAAUUUAUCGAGUUCCGGCAUAAAUACGGAAUUCAUGAGAUACAUGAAAUAUGCCGGUGCAUUUGUAAGUCCAAAUGACAUAACCAGAUAUUCAUAAAGUCCAUAUCUGGUUGAGAAGGCCGUUUUUGGAAUGUCACUAGGCCUGAUCUUGAUCUGAUGAUAACCGGAGCGUAAAUCAAUCUUAGAAAAGACCUUUGCUCCAGCUAGUUGAUCGAAUAAGAUAUCAAUGCGGGGAAGAGGAUACUUAUUUUUGAUAGUAACCGCAUUGAGUGGACGGUAGUCGACACAUAGUCUCAGGCUAUCGUCUUUCUUCUUAACAAAGAGAGCAGAACAACCCCAAGGUGAAGCACUGGGGCGUAUAUAACCCUUAUCAAGAAGAUCUUGGAGCUGAAUUUUCAGUUCUGCUAAUUCGUUUGGAGGCAUGCGAUACGGCCUCUUGGAAAUUGGAGCAGUGCCCGGUUGAAGUUCAAUGAUGAACUCGAUGUCUCUAUCUGGGGGCAUUCCAGGCAAAUCGUCUGGAAAGACAUCGGGAAAUUCACAUACUAUCGGAAUAUCUUUGACUUUGAUAUCUGUGAUAGCAUAUGCGCAAGGGUGUAGAUAUUCUGGCGGAGGCAGAACAAGAGUAAUGGCUCCACAAUAUGGUGAAUCAAUUUCGAUAACUCGGGAAGAUAUAUCUAACUGGACUCGAUGUUCAGUCAUCCAGUUUGUCCCAAGUAUGACAUCGAUACCCUCUAAACUGAGUAAAACCAAAUCAGUUUUGAUCUCUUUACUACCUAACUGAAUUGGCACAUAUCUACUUAUUCGGUUGGAAGUAAUAUUUCCUCCAGGGGUAGUGAUCAUAUAUGACCCCUGGAUAGGACAAGAUUCAAGUCCUAGUCGGGUACCACAGUUGUUACUAAUAAAGCUAUGGGUUGCUCCGAAAUCAAAUAAAGUAACAACUGGUUUAUGGUAGAUAGAAAAUGUACCCGACAUGACGGGAGCUCCAUCUGAAAGUUCUGCAAGAGUGGUGAAGUUAAUUCGUCCUUGCCGGACUUGCAUCACUGGCUUCUUGCCCUUACUCUGGUUUCCCUGGGUGGAGCUCUGCCCUUGAUUAGGUUUCUUAGGCCGCGGGCAAUCUCGAAUGAAAUGGUCCGCACUUCCGCAAUUGUAGCAGCGAUAGUUGCUGCCUUUCUGUGGCACUUGCUGAAUAUUUGGCCGUUGGCCAGAUUGUUGUGCUUGUUGCGGGGGCGCAGGAGGUCUGUACCUUCCUUGCUGCUGAGGCGGCCUAAAAACCAAUCUACCCGUUGGAGCAUUGCGCUGUGGUGCUCUGGGCGGCGUAUUGGAAACAACCCGAUACCUCGGUGGUUGAGCACUCGAGGGUCCAGCAGGGUUCUUCCGCUUCUUCUCAGCAUACUGCGCCACAAUGCAGUCUUCUUGAGUUAAGGCCAUAUUGACCAACUCACUAAAAGUAUUAGCCCUCACAAGGUUCAGGCGUUCCUUGAGUUUGGUGUUCAGGCCCCGACGGAAGCGGUCUUGUUUCUUGGUAUCAUUAUCUGCAUGAUACCCUGCAUACUGGCACAGAUGAUUGAAAUUCUGUGCGUACUGCAGAACCGUAUUGGCACCUUGAGUAAGAGCCAGGAACUCAUUAAGUUUUCGUUCCAACAGUCCUGCGGGAAUAUAAUGCGCUCGAAAGGCGACCCGGAAUUCAUCCCAUGUGAUGAUAUGCCCUGCAGGUUGCAUGGCAUAGAAAUUGUUCCACCAUAUUCUAGCAGCACCACGAAGUUGUUGAGCAGCAAAGGAAGCCUUGCUAGAAUCCGCACAAGGUAUGGUCAGGAGAGCGAACUUCGAUUCAAUGAUGUGGAGCCAGGCAUCGGCAUCCAAUGGUUCCUCGGCCUUACUGAAGAAAGGCGGUUGAGUACUGAGGAAAUCUUGGUAACUAGCCACAGGAGGAUUACGAUCAUCCCGGCCUCCUCGGAAUUGAUGCUGCUGAUUCUGCUGUGCUUGAACCAGCAAAUUAAGCAAUUCCGUUUGCCGAGCCAUGACUUCGGCAAGGUUGGGAGGAGGUGGUGGCGGUUGCUGAGAACCGCUGGCCUGAUCAGCCCGGAAACCCUCCGGGGUUCCCCGUGUAGCUCCAACCAUCUGAAAUAAAGGAGAUGUCCAUUAUUAACCAUAUAUCCUUACUCCCAAUUUAAGAAGACAUAAACAAUGCAUAUAUUCCGCACAAUCAUCUCAUCUCAGAAUUAAAGAUAAUGAACAAGAUGAUAAAACCGGAAAUUAUAUUACAUUGCUGACUCAGAUAGUUCCCACUUCGCAUGUCGAAAGUUCACUACAUAGGCCAUCUAUAUUACAUCAAAUGGCGCGAGGUUUGACUACUUAAACUAUUACAUUCCCUUAGAUUACAUCUCGAAAGUCGACGAUUUACUAAAAAUCGUCGAAAUUUCCUACAGAAGACUGACUGCCAGAAAGAGAGUGAUGGGGACUAAUAACAGGGUCCCCAUGCUCAGAGUCAAUUUCUGAAAUACCCUCAAUCUCCUCUGGGUCUUCUUCUUCUUCUUCUUCAGGUACUAUGGGUAUAGCGGGGAGUAUGGGUUGCUGCUGCAAUUCUUCAAUAUGAGCCUGGGCAUCAUCCGCUUCGAGUAUCAGAUCAUGAAUUUGCUCUUGUAGAAAUUCUAUAACAGCGUCACGUUGAGUGAUAAGAUGAUCACUCUCAUUGAUCUGAUCUUCGCGAUGAAGAAUUGUUUCAUCUCUUGCUGCAAUAAUUUCAUCCUUUUGUGUUACCAAAGCUUGUAACUAUUCUAUUUGGGUUACUUGGUGGUCAGCAUUCCGAUAGUGGCUUUGAGCCACACCAGUUAUCUGACUUACCCCAUGACGCAGUAGCAUUUGAUAAUGAUAUUGCACGUCCAUGAACCUGGUAACGAUACGGACGGUUUCUUCAGCCAGAUCUCCUAGCAGAUGACCAUGAUGGUCUAUCCGAAAAUCCCAGUCCGAAUUACCCGGGUCUAUGGUAGGAAAUAACCCAAUAGGAUAUGCGGCAACUUCAAUAGGAUGUUGAUUGCAGAAGAGUUUGAUAGCUUCUAAAGCAGCAGUUUCAAGAGUAUCCACUAGACGAUAUCCAACCACUUCCACUUCUAUGGGAGGCCAUAAGGAGCGGAAAGGGUGUUGAGGAAUUAUCAUCUUAACCCUGCAGCGGGAAACUCCUUUUUCAAGAUACUCUACCCCAUCAUACAGAGGAGGCUCUGUAUAAUGAAACAUACUCAAGGAUUCCCACAAAAGACGAGGAAACCCUUACCAAUGUAAACCAUUGGUAUGAAAGUGCCCCUCCUGAUCCCAAAAGGUACUAGUAGGAGCAGCCAUCUGCGACAACAAUGCAAAUGGUAAGAUAUUUUUACCCUGUUGAGAAAGUUUACAAGGUAAAGUGGAUUAGGAUAGCUAAUUCUGAUAACAGCAAAGGCUGGAAAUCAGAUGGAUGCCUAAGAUACCCAACUAAAAAUUCCUACUUACCCAAAUUAAGGAAUACCAACAUGUUGCCUAUUUCUUAGAAAGCAUCAAUUUAAGCAUUCAAUUUAGUUGAUUAAUGGAUUAUGCAUGCACGUACUAACCGAUCUCACAAACAAAAAUUAACUGCCAAGUAAUCUUGGUCUUACGUGGUUAGUUACGGUGGCACAAUAUAAAUACGUCUCUCACUAUUAACUAGUCGAUAAAUCCUAUCCGUCCUAGUUUCGGAAUCGUGGUUAGUGUACCUGCAGAAAACCACAAUGCAUAUAUAUAUCCAAUGAACCUUUCAUGCCAGCAUGUCAUGAAAGCGUCCCCAUUCAUUACUGCUCACUAUAGAAAUAGCAUCUGUACAAUUACCGCCGUACAGACAACGUUAACAUACGUUAUUGGAUAACGUAUUCACGGGGGUACCGCAAAAAUGCGGGGGUAUGAACAGCGAUCGCCAUACCCUGCGCCGAACCAUAUACUCCCAAUGUGAUCAAUCGAAAUUGAUACAUUGGCAGCAUCUCAAGUAGGCCACUGCUUGAGAAACAGCGUUCGGUUCGCAUCACCGACAGGAAGGCCAAGCUCCCUCAGUUGGCUGAGGAUUCUUACCUUCUUACCUCCCGAUCGAAGAUGUCGUUACAUAAUGUAAAGUUGAAUUGUGCACAAAAUUAAGUUUCAACUGAAAAGUAAUGCUGGAAGUUAGUCAUAUAUAUACAUAUUACAGCCACCUUUAAUUCCCAUAAUAACAUUACCCUAGGGCUUAUGUACUAUACAUAAUCCUUAACGAAUCAACGUAUUUCACAAAUACUUGAUUAAUGAAAUUUUAUACUAAAAAUUACUUUUUAAGGCUAAUUAUAUCUCCAGGGUACAAUUGUUAGCUCUGAUACCAGCUGUGGCAGAACCAACCUGAAUUAUACCGGCUCAAGUACGCGAGUCCUCACUGAAGGGCUACCUCGUACUUCAAACAGUAUAAAACUAUUGGUCUGUCGGGUAACGUCCCGAUAAACCACCGAACGCAGGAUCCAACAAGGUACCUCACACGAAGGUGAGUCCAGAGAUAUAAUGCCAAAAUAAUUUACACCACAGGCAGUUAUAUUACAAGGAUAUAUAAAGUAACAUUAGCUCCCACUAAGGAGAGAUUAUUACAAAACAAGUUCAGGUUUCUAGUCAAAGCAGCGGAGUUUGAAAAGCGUAGUCAUUAUACACGUCGUCAUUACAGAUAUUAUGCUAGCCCUGGCAUAAUAUCACUCGGCGGAAUCUGUGUUGGCCGGGGACGGAUCCCAUUCCACGGACCAACCAUCAGGCAAGGGGUAGGGCCACGGUGUAAUGAACGCUGGCUCAUUAGAAGAAUUUCCUGGAGUAAAUCAACAAAAGCAAGGCUGAGUAUACUAAUACUCAGCAAGACUUACCCGGAAUUGGGUAUAUCUUAGCCCAUAACUAGACUCAUGAUGGCUUUUAGCUUUGGGUAGGGUUUUCAGCUGAAAAGCAACAAAGAGUAGAUCCUUAUUUUCAACUUUUAGCUUUCAAGUUCUAGUUGAUUAACCAUUCUAGGUAAGCACCUAUAACUACUCAAGCAUGGUAGAAUCUUUAUUCAAACAUCAUCUUGAAUAAUCACAUAAUUGCUCUUGUUACUCUAUGUGAUAAAGGGGAUAAGAAGUCUCAUACAUCGUGAGAGGCGGACGAUUCUGAAUCGAGAUUCAACCCUUGCAAGGUAAACCUAACUCACACGCUUGGAACACCACAGGGUUGUUCCGAAGCAACCGUUUGCCUUUCAUUCCGACUCGUGGAUCAGUGCCACCACAAGCGACUGCAGGUCAUACGCACUUCCAAAGUGCAGGACGUACGUCUGUAGCGCGACUACAAAACCCGUACUCCUGGUUGCCCAGCAACACGUAUACCUACACGUCGAACAAAGUAACCAAAAGAAGCAAAUACAUGUGGUGGGUGGUAUGUCCACUCCUCGGGCCGAUCGGUUACUAGGCUUACCGCUUACCAUAUUUCACGGCAUGUGGCUAGUACUUUCAAACGCUUAACCACCGCUACCACACACUGCGACCUUAACAAAUUCAUCAACACAGACGGGGUAUCAUCUUGACCAUGAUACCUCAUAAAACUCCCGUCCGGCAUCCUUAUAGUGAUAGCAGGAAUGUAAACAUUACAAUUCCUAAAUCGCGCGAGUGACAGGAAAUCACUCGACUUGUACCGGUCCUAUAAGCAGAGCAGCUAGUCGGACUCAAGUUCUAGUGUUCAAUACAUUGGUUCCUAGAAUAAUGCAACUAAGUUUCCAAACAACUCCUAGAACGUAAUGCAUAAAGAGAUAUAUAAAUAAUAGCAUAGGUUACAGUGUAAUAAAGUAGGGGUUAUUUCCGGGGCUUGCCUUCGCUGGUAGGGUUAGGGUUAGUCAAACUAUUUUCUUCCGAACCUUGGUUCGGGGCUUCAGAGAAAUCCGCGACGAGAUUCCCGGGGUCUUCAGAAUAAACUUCUUCUUGUUCCGGGAUCAGCUGAUAAUCCCCGUCAGCGAGAGUGGUCGAGUCUAUAUGAAAUGCAAAAAUUACAAGUUAUGGAAUACUUUUACUUUUAUUUUACUUCCCGAUAAAGUUGCAAUCCAAAAUAAUUAACAUGUCAUUUUGAUAAAUUUCCUAACUACCCAGUACUGGGCAGUCAUUUAUCGAGUAUUAAUUAGUUCACUUAGAUACAUUAAACAGUAAACCUAAUUACGUUAAGUAUCUAUCUAGUGGCAUGAGGCAACAGGUGGGGUGGUUCCUAACAUUUAUAUUAAAGGCUUUAUAUAAUGACUAUACUAAUUACUUAUAUGAACUUGAGUUACCAUUACAUUAUAAAUCAACUAUAUUAUAUCUAAAUUAUUUAAUACCUAACCCUUGGUUGGAAACUUAAUAACAUGUUACAAUAUUACAAAACAGAACCUUAAUCUAUUUUCAUGAUUUUUGAACAUUUAAAAUUGUAUUUAUUAAUUAUACUAAAGAAACUACUCCUUAUUUCUAAUAAAACUUAUACCAUAAGAAAAUAAUACUACCAUACCAUGAUGAUUAUUUUUCUUCAAUUCUAUAUGUUAAAAGAGAAUUAUCAUCACUAGUUUUACUAUUUUAUCAUUUUUCUAUGAAUUACUAUGCAUUUCCAAAGCCUACAAGCAACUAGAUUUAAUAUUUAAAUUAGAUCACCAAGCAUACAGAAACUGAAGUUGAUUCUUUAAGUAAAGUUGUAGAUCUUUAUCUGAGGAUUCCAACAAAAUUUAGUUUGCAAUUUUAUGAGUUUUCCUCGAGGAGAUAUAGUAUUUCUAAGUUGGCAGCAAUAUUUACAUAAGGAGGUCCCUCGGUACUAUUCAUCUGAGUCUACUCCUUUGCACAAAACCCCCUGGACUUCUAUUCCUUCUAACCCGAAGUCCUUGGCCGUGAACCCGAACAGAGCAAGUUGGAGGCGACCGUGUUCCGGCGACGGCGGUCACCGGCGGCGAGGUCCAAGUGCAGGGAUAGGGUCAGGAGCUUAUGGUGAUCCCGUUGCUCCACUUGUCGAGGGCUGGGACGGACGGAAAGAGGGAUCCCGAUGAGGACCCGAGGCGGCGGCGGAGGGGUCGACGGCGACGAGGGUGCUCCGGCGAUGAACGUUGGCCAAGAUCCUGCGCACGAGAACCGGUGAGUCCCGGGGAACGUGUACGUGCAAUUAAUUGAAUGAAAACACGCUGGAUCAAGGGGAAUCGACGGAGACCAAUGCGGCGGCGGCGAGGAAGAACGCCGGCGAGCGUCGGGAAGGCUCUGUGGUGCACUAGGGAACCAAUGGAUGGGUCGAACAGCUUCAGGACGAUGAUGUGGUGCUGGCCAGAGAGUCGUGGUGGCGUGAGAGUACCCGGAGCGAGCUGCCCACGGUGGAGGCCGAAAGCGGCGGCGGCGGCGGCGCUCGUCGGGGACAAGGCUUCAGUGGAAAUUGGGGAAAAUCAGUGGGUCGUCGAGCACGAGCAAGACACGGGAAAGCUGGUGCGGGUGUUGGUUGGGGCGGAGGAGGUCCGGUGUGGGCUGCCCACGGGCGUGCCGUGCGCGGCCGGAGUGGAACGGGACGGCGGCGGCGGAAUGCAGCUCGGGCGCUCGAAAUUGGGCUCUCGGAGUAACAGAAUAGGCCGUGUGUGUUGAAGUAAUGUUGCUGCGCGCGAGAGAGAGUGAGUUAAGGCACCAGGAUGGCCUGUCCACGGUGACCAGGAGGUGGCGGCCGGCGAGGGCCUCGGGUUGCCGUGGCGCGCGCGCGUGAGGCCAGGAAGGGAGGGGAGCAGAAGUGGAGAAGGCAAGGAGCGACGCGUGGAAGAGAAAUCCAGCAGGAGGUGGUGCUCGGGAAGCUGUGCCGGCGGUGGGCGGUGGCGACAGGAGCAGAGCAGAAGGGGGAAGCGGCGGGGUCAGAGGAAGACGAAGCGGGGAGGUGUCAGGGGAUCUAUUUGCAAUUCUCAAAAAGUUCAGGGACCCUACUGUAAACUAAAAUUUUCCUACUGCUACAAAGGUCAAAUGAAAAAGUGCUCAACAUGAAAGUUGUAGAGUUUUUCAAACUCUACAAUAUUGCUUUAAGGCUUGGGUUUAAAAUCUUAAAGGGUACGGUUUUAUUUUGAAUUUUUGAACACAAUUCAAAUUAUAAACUUUAUGUGUUAAUUAAAAUAAAAUGCCCUAAUGUUUGGGGUCUUUUUGUAAGUUCUUCUGCAGUAAUCAUGACUAGCUCUUUUUACACUUUAGUCCUUAGGUAAAACUAAGUUUUACUUUUAUCUUUUACCCUUUCACAUGUAAAUCCUUAUAUUUUUGUAUUAAUUACAUAAAGGUCCUUAAUUUCAUAUAAAGUCUAUUCCCCUUAAGUUUAUUUAACUUUUGCUCUUUUCUUUUCUAUAGCCAUCUGAAAUUUGACACUUAAGAACAUUUUCACACACUUGCACAUAAGAAUUUAUAAAACUCAUGAUUUACAAAUACACCCCUAUUCCUUUAUACAAACCUUAACAUACAUACAACACACUAAUACCUAGUGUCCAGAUUCUAAUUACAGGAAUGUUACAGGCUAGUUCUGACAACGCCGUUUUUGCAAUAGUUGACCGUUGGGGGACAGUGGAGCUGGCAGACACCUGCCAAUGUCGCAGAAUGUCCACCAACUUCUCCAAACGGCUAGUUUGUGUUGGUAGGCUAUAUAUACUCACCCCUUGACUGCAUGAGAGCUCUCUUGGCACUUGAGAAAGACACUAGAACAUACUUGAGCUCUUAUUCACUCAUCUCUCACUCACUAUUGCUUAGUGAUUGCAUUCUUGUGAGUUAGAGAGUGUUUAGUGCAUUGCAUCAAAGAGGUUGAUCAUUGAGGCACUAGUGGGAUUCCAAGCAAGCGUUGUUGGCUUGUUACUCUUGGAGGUUGCCGCCUCCUAGACGGCUUGGAGAUCGUGUGGGCCACCGAGCACUUAAAAGGAGAUUGUGAAGGUGCCAUGGCCAAAUUUGUGAGAGGUUGAGCUCACCUCGCCGGAGCGGUGAAGAGCAUUCUAGUGGAAUCGAGGUUUGGAGAGGUUCUUUGAUCAAUUGGCUUAAGGACUAAGUGAAGACUUGGUAGAGGAGCAAUCGAGUUCAUUGAAUCCACCUCAACGUGGAUUAGGGGUGACCGGCAAGUCAUCGACACCACGGGAUAAAUUCUUGUGUCUUGAGAAUUGGUUCCUACCUUACAAUUCUUUAUCGCAUUUACUCUUGUGCAAGUUUACAUUCCUAGAUUCUAACUUUGCGUGAUCACCCUAGGUUGCAAACCCAAUUUAGCUCGACUUAGGUUAGAAAUUUAAAUAUCUUAUUGUACUAAUUAAAUUUCUCCUAAGUGCUUUGUUUUUAGUUAAAACCGUCUAUUCACCCCCUCUCUAGCCGGUGUCUUUGUUCCUACAGCCUUAUCUCCAUUAAGCCAAUCAUACUAUCAUUGGUGCUGCAAUUGUCAAGAGUCACGGUUGAUACCCUCCGAUCAAUAUCCCAGCUCUGGAGGCACUUGUGCAAUGCAUCACAAAUAACUUCAACGGUAUGGGGGCACGGCACAUACAUAAACCUACACAUAACAAAGCAAUAGUUUAGAUGUAAAGUUCAUAAUGUAUAGAAAUUUGAAAGCUGAACAGCAAGCAACAAUUGCAGAAAAAAGAUAAUCACCUCAAAAUGCAGCUUUUAAGCAUCCACGACUCAUCAAUAAAAUAUCCAGUCACAGCCAUAUAGCCUCUUUUUUAAUUAUCAGCUGUCCAAAGGUCAGUUGUAACAGCAACACGACAAUUGGUCCUUUGCAACAAUAUCCUAUCUUUCCUUUUCUCACCCUCAUAGAAAUGCAUUAUGUCCCUUCUAAUAGUGUUUCUAGUACCCAUUUUAAACAAAGAUUGCAGGGCACUAACAAACUUACGAAAACCAUGGUGGUCAACAAUGGAUAAUGGGUACUCAUGCAAUAUGAUCAUGGAAUAAAGAGCUUUCCUAGCUACUUCUUGAUCAAACAUAUAGUUUUCUACAGUUAUUGCCCCUUUUUCAGUGGUUACAAGCCGCAAAUUACUUUGAAUUUUAUCUCCUACCUUCUUAUUAUUUAAAGGACAAGAUUUCAGAUGGGUUUUCAUAUGGGUUGUACCAUUCCUUGAGACGGCUGAAAAUUUCUUGUCACAAUGAUUGCAUUUGGCCUUCCAUUCUCCAUCAACACAAACUUGGACGAAGUCAUUCCACACUUUAGAAUAAAGUUUCCUCCUUUUACCAGGAGCAGCAGGAGCUUCUUCCUCCCCAUCCGAAAUGUGCACAACAUUAUCUUCUGUUGUAUCAGCCGCAGCCACUACAGCACCUAAUGCUUAGGAACCUGGAACUUGGGAGCUACUAGGAGCACUAGCCAUUGCAACUGUAGAACAAUUAACAUGUUCUUAAGUUAGAUAUCUAGCUAAAAGACCAAGCAUGAAAGGUACAUGAUCUUAAAUUAAAUAGCUCGAGCUAUUUCAGAGUAGCUCACAGCCUCACAUCAAUGAGAAAGGCCUGAUAUGACUAUCCAUAAUAUCAACUAAAAGUUUGCUCUUUGCACAAUAUGUGGAUAUUUAUACUCAGAGUGGCACUAGUAGCCAACCAUAACUAAAUAGCUCGGCAUCUAUCUAAAGAAUAUGUGUCACAAGUACCAAUUGUGCAUCCAGUAAGUCAUUCAUGAAACCAAAGACAAAGAACAGAACAAGGCUAAUUUGAAAUGGUUCUUCCACGCUUGUUCAAUAUACCACAUCAAAAUGCAUAUCACGCGCAUCAUAAAGUACAUCAUGUAAAUAAUGUGGUUCUUAACGCAUCAAGCAAAAACAUCAUAAAUGUCAUGAAGAACAAGGGCCAGAUCUGUUUCUACCAGUAUGGCUCGAGCGUUGGAUGGUGACGGGCGGGCGGCCAGCGGCGGGGCGGAUGGGAACGGGCGGGCGGCGGCGGGGACGGGGGCGGGCGGCCGGCGGCGCGGAUGGGGGCGGGCGGGCGGGCGGGCGCCGCCGGGCGCGGAUGGGGGUGGCAGCUGGGAAGAACUGGGAGGUCGGGGUAGGGACUGGGGAAGUGGGGAGUCGGGGAUGGGAACAAUGAAACCCUAAAAUGUGUAUAUAUAUAAUCACUCGGGGCCCACAUGUCAGCGGGUCUGGCGGGUUUGCGGGUUCGGGUAUUAAUUUUUUAAAUCCGUUACAAACUAUCCGUUGGGUUUAGAUCUGUAACCGCACCUGUACCCGCGGCACAAAUCUAAACCCGUACCCGUGCCCACUGGAUUUAAUAUCCAUGGGUACGCGGGUAUUUCAUAACCGUUGCCAUCCUUAUAGCUAGCUGCCACUGGCAGCAGCUCCAUUGAUCGAUUAGCAUCUUUAGUUAUUUGCGUGUGUUGUGUGUUGCCCCAUGCAGGCGAUCGGACGCAGCGCCAAAGAUUAAAAGAACAAGCAAAAAGAUCGUUGUGUUUUACUCGAAGCGGGUGAUAUUAGUCAUAUUGUUUGUUUUUGUUUAAAUUGGUCCUGGAACUUAAAGUAUCAUUGACUAAGUACCUGGGACAUAUUCAUGUUUUAUUUUAUCCUUUAGUAUAUCUAUUGCAAGAACAAUACAAUUCCACCAUCCAGAAAAUGAAGCAGCACGGAGCAUCUCAAAACAUGGUACACAAGAAUAAAUUAAGGAAACAAUAAAAAUAUUUUGCGAAACAAAUUCAAAAGAUAACAAAAAUAAACCAAAAACAUCAAAUCCAGGCCCGUAUAUUAUGCCCGGGCGAUAGCCAACCGUGGCUUCCGUUAACUUCUAAUGCUGAUUCCUUUCCACAGACCAAAGCCCCACAGCCUCGUUGCUAUCUAGGAUUGGACGGUUUGACCUGGACUGUUCAUCUAUUGGACACGGCCAUGUGCAGGACGCACCGCCCUCACGAAGGGCCGACACCAUGACCUGCCGCGCUGCAGCUGUGACUGGUGAGUUGCUAACUUACAGGUUGUCGCUGACUAUCUGCUGCUAUCUUGCCAUGUUGCCAACUUUUUGAUUGUCACCGAGACGCUGAUUAUAUUUAAUAGAGGUUAAGAAAAUAUUGGUAAGAAAGGUUCGUCAUUUUCUCCUUCAGCUUAUUAGUUGCUUAUGGUAUUUCUUAGCACUGCCAAACACAUGAAGUUAAAUAAUGAAUUUCAUUUAUUUUGAGUAUUUAUAUUUACGAUAUGUAGGGUCCCAUUUGAUAUCUCGCACCAGAGCCUCAAAAAUUUUGGUACGGCCCUGGUCAAAUCUCUAAGGCAACUUUAUUUAAACACUCUAUAGCAAUUUAUUACGAAAAUGCGGGAAGUUAGAAACUUAGAAAUGUUAGCUAAAUCGCUCACCAUACAGGCAUACAUAUAGAAAAGAAAAUUAUAAGGUAAAAAAGUAGCACGUCGGGGAUGAAGGCAAAUUCUUCGUUAAUUCGCCUUCAAAGAUGUCUCGAAGCACUUGGAAAAGCCUGUUGUGCUGUACUAAAGCUGAUUAGUGAUCAUGCAUGUUAAUAAACCGUCUGUUAAUGAAAACAUGCUGUGCUGAAUUUGGAAAAUAUUAAUGACAUGUGGAUCCAUUUCAUCUGGACUAUCUUUCUAAUUUCAUCUCUUCAUUUUCAUUUAUAAUUGAAAAAUAAUUAUAAACUUACCCUAUCUCCUCUAUAAUAUAUACCACUAAGUGAUGGUAUUGUGUAACAUAAAAGAUCUCUCUUUUUUUGGCCUAAUGAUAGGUGGUUCAAACCAAAGAAGUGAAAACCCAAAUACUGUUAUCUCAUACUAAUAUUUUUUCUAAAAAAAAGAACAAAGAGCAUGAGCGCGGGUGUUCUAUUCAGUGGGGCAAGAAAGAAUACAAGGUUCCUUGGGGGCAAAACAGUACAGAAGAAAAUAAAAGGUCAAAAUAAAACGUACGUUUGGUAGGAAACACACAAAUGAAGCCACGGGCGGACCCAAGGCCCGGCGAGCCCGGGCUCCUGCUUAGCGUGUCUGUUACCAGCUUCGUAGAGGUCAGCUGGCAAAGUAAUGCAUGCAGUGGGUCAUUGGCAGCUCAGCUUAAACCAUCCCUUGUGCUUGCAGCCUGCACAAAUCGAGAGAUCAGCAAAACGUUGUACGUUUGAGCGUGUGCAUAGGCUCAAAAGUCUGCCGGCGUACAGCAUCUUGAGCAGCUCCAACAAAUUAAGUUGUAGUUAUAUAUUCAAAUCACUGGAUGGAGCUCCCGUUCUUCAACGGUUUCAGAACAUUAAGACUUGGAAAAUGCAAAUACACCAUGUCCCAUAAGUUUGCACACUCGCUCUCUUCUUUAGAGAUAUACUAUUGGACUUUUGGUGGCAAGUUUACAUACUAAGGCAUAAUUAAUUUUAGUGUCACAGAUUUAUAAUGAGAUGAUUUAAUUAUGUGACACAACCAUCUUAACAUACACACACUCCAUUUCUAGUUAUUGAUAUUAUAGUUCCAAAACUGUGGAGGUUAUUAAGUUUGCUUAGGUUAGUGGAUGAUAUGUUUGUGCUAUGUUGGCCCAGGCUCCCUUAAGUUUCUGGGUCCGCCACUGAAUGAAGCUAUGUUUUAUUGCAAGGUACUAUUAAUUCUAUCCGCCGCCGCAGAAUCGGUAGGCGAUGCAGACGACCACGUGCGAUCCGACCAUGUCCUUGCCGUAGAGUUUCUCGCUCUCCUCCAUGUCGUCCUCGACGCCGCCGCACCCGCGGUACACCAGCGUGUCGUCGCGGCCGGCGUCGAAGUAGCCGAACCACGGGGACGUCAAGAGGGACCCAACGCAGGGGCCAUGCCUGUCGCAAGGAUGAGCAGCAUAGCGAGGAGAGGAUCCCCCUGGUUGGCCAUUCAGCAAGAUUCUGGUUGAAGCUGUUGAAAGAAGUAAUGCAAUCCAAUCCCUCCAACGCUGACCGAAACCCCAGGCUUCUAGAACUUCCAGGACGAAAGGCCAAGCCACUGUGUCAAAUGCCUUAGAUAUAUCCAGCUUGAGCAGGAAUUUCGGUACUUUUCCUUUUCCUCAACAGUAUGGCAAGCCCGUUGCACAUACUUGUAACUAUCCAGGAUUGAUCUGCCCUUGACGAAAGCCGUCUGAUUGCAGCUGAUCAAUUCUUGUAGGUGAGGUGUCAACCACUUGGAAAGGAGUUUGGCUACUAACUUUGCAAAACUGUGAAUGGGACUGAUUAGUCAGUAAUCUUUGGGAGUUUUGGGCACAGGGGUCUUCGGGAGCAGAGUGAGAAGGGCACCAUUGAUGCAACGAAACUGUCUUCUAUCCACCGUGUAGAAAGCGUUUAGUGCAACCAUGAUGUCCCCUUUUAUGACUGACCAGGCUGUCUGGUAGAAGGCCGCAGUGAACCCGUCAGGCCCAGGUGCUUUGUCAGGUUUGAGCUCCUUACCGACCAGAUCUCAUCCUCGGUGAAAGGGAGAUCGAGAGCAGACAGGUUCCGCCGUUCAAUUCCCAAGGCCUGCAAAUCGAGAGUGUGCUGCCGCGAGAACUCAGUGCCGAGGAUGUUACUGAAGUAAGAAUGCAGCAUCUCCGCGCGCCUUGUCAUCCUGGGAGAAAGCAGUGUUGUCUCCCAGUUGCAGACUGACGAUGUGGUUCUUCCUGCGGCGAUAAGUUGCAUGCAGGUGGAAGAAUUUUGCGCUCGCAUCGCCCUCCCUUAGCUGCAGCAUUCUGGAUCUUUUUUUUUUGGAACUUAAUGCAUUCUGGAUCUUUGACGUGCGAUCGUCCUUUCCAACGAAGCCAGGCUGAGACAAAGCAGUUUCAGCUGUUUUCUGAACUCCUAUUCCUCGUCCGACAAAAGGUGUCAACAAAUGGAUUGUCCACAGCCCCCUAAUCGAAAUAAAAUCCAAAAUAGCUCAGUACGUUCCCUCAACAUACAAUAGGUGUGGGUUUUUUUUUUCGAGACGAGGCCAUGACCCCAUUUCCAUUACUUAAAACGGAAAUACAAGCUUGUUCCAGAACCACAAACGAUAACGGAAAAGGAGUCUUUAGCCUAAACGAACUACUUCACUUGCUUCAGGCAAGGUAGUCGCAGAAGGGGGGUACCCCAGGAUUCCCAGACCACAAGCAUAACAGAAAAAACAAGAAAGAGAUUCAGGGGCCGGCGCAUCUUCUUUCUUCACCCGGAUCUGUAUCACUCCUCUUCUUCUUCAUCGUCUCGAUCUUCAGAAGGAGCUGGCAGGAUCUGCAGAGUUGGGCGCGCCUGUCGAGCAAGCACCCUGUGUGCGCAGGCGAGCAUGACCUUGACCCCAUCCAUCAGUUUCACCUGGAAGUCCGAGUUGUACAAACCUGCCCAAUAAGACAUGAGAGCACAAGCGUGAAUGAUAAUCUCAGCAGGGUUCUUGAUGAUUUUCUUGUCAAAACAGGCUUGGUUUCGACAUUUCCAGAUUGCCCAACAAAUAGCAGCAAGACCAAAGAUGUGAACCAUAUCCCCCUCGGGGAGGUUAGAUUUGAUCCAAAUUUUAUACUGUUGUAAGUUUUGCGGAGUGGUUCUGGCCCAAAGCAUUGGCCAACAAUACCCCACACUACCCUCGCAACCGGGCACAAAAAGAAGAGGUGAUCAGUAGUUUCCACCUCGGGACAAAAGUAGCAAGAGGGGUCCCCCACCCAUUUUCGCUUGACCAUAUUUUCUUUGGUCAGAACAGCAUUCAGUUCCAAUAGCCACAGGAAAAUUUUGAUUUUAUAAGGGAUUUUGGCUUUCCAUAUGUAUUUAUAACUUCUGCCCCAUCAGCAUUAGUUAGAUGUUCAUACACCGAUUUAGUUGAAAACAACCCAGAUUUGUUCCAUCUCCACCCAGGAACAUGCCCUACUCCUUCUAGGAAGGAAAAAAACAGUGACGUUCUUGUCUGUGCAUAGAUCAAAUAGGACAGGGGAAAGUUCACAUAUGGCUUUAUCACCAAGCCACCUGUCAUACCAGAAAGCACAAGUUUUCCCAUUUUUCACUUUGAGUUGUCUCCCUGCCAGGUAAAUAUUCUUGACCUUAAGCAGGUCCGCCCAGACAGGGGAAUCAUAGUCUCUGGCUCACAGAGCUGAUGGUGUGUUUCUUCAGAUAUUUUACACCACCAUGUCCUGCCACAGACCACCCUCAAAGUCUAAUUUCCACCACCAUUUGCAUAGCAGACUAAUGUUCAUUUUCCUUAUGUCCUUUACUCCCAGGCCACCUUUUUGUUUGCUUUUACUCACUACCUCCCACCUGACCAGGUGGUAUUUCCUCUUGGUGCCACCCCUUGCCAGAAGAACAUUCUCCUUUGUUUGUCCAGCUCGUUAACAACAGUUUGUGGAAAUAAGUACAUAGACAUAUGAUAGAUAAAGGCACUUGAAAGACUGGAAUUGAUAAGAGUUAGUCUCCCAGCAAUGGACAUUGACCCCACCCCUCCAGACAGCUAGCUUCUUUCUGUUUUUCUCAAUUAAAGGGGCCCAAUCUUUGACAUGUAGUCUACCUGGACUCACAGGUACUCCCAAAUAUUUCAGGGGGACAUGCCUAUCUGACAGUUAAACAAUUCAGAAUAUUGGUCAUGCAACUCAUCAUCCCCUUGCAGCACAAUGACCUCACUCUUGUUAAAGUUUAUUUUAAGUCCAGACAUCAUCUCAUAUAAGUACAGGAGGAGCUUCAUGUUCCUAGCUAUCUCCAUAUCUUCUUUGAGGCAUACGAUAGUAUCAUCAGCGUAUUGUAAUGCCACCACUCCAUAGGGAAUCAGAUUGCUAGCUAGACCUAUCAGCAGCCCAGAUUCUUGAGCUUGCCUAAUCAUCCUAGCUAAACAGUCUGCCACGAAGUUAAACAGCAUGGGGGACAAGGGAUCACCUUGCCUAACUCCUUUGUGGCUCACAAAAUAUGGCCCUACACUGUUAUUCACUUUGAUGCAGACAGUGCCACCUGACACAACUCUUUUUAUCCAUUCACACCAAAUACUGCUAAACCCCCUGAUUUCAAGGUAGGUAAACAAGAAGGCCCGAUUGACUUUAUCAUAUGCCUUUUCAAAAUCCAGUUUCAACACCACCCCUUUCAACUUUCUUCUUUUUGUUUCAUGUAGCACCUCAUGAAGUGCCAGAGCUGUCUUGAGAUGGGUGUGGGUUUGAUGGCAAGAAUUGAAUCACGCCGUUUCGUAUGCAGACCAUAUUUAUAUCUCCCCACCAAAAUAUACUCCUUUUAAAUAUUUAUGAGAGAAACUACCAGCUAUAUUGUGGGUUAAUUUUGAGUGGUAUUAAUACCAACCUAAAUUAUGUACGCCUAAACUUGCGUAUCAAUGAAAAGUUCAGGCUGGCAACUUAUCCGCCGUAUAAUUCUUUAAAUACCUCAUCAUUACACUCGAAAGAUCAAACCUUCCCAGUAAGCAGUAUUGUCAUACUACCAAAGUUACCCCGUGCCGAAUUCUAUAAACUGUGGGCUUGUGGCCGAUGGCACCAGCAAAGCAAGGCACUGCGACGAGCAUGGCGAGCGCCGGUGAUGUCCCGCGCUGCGGCGUCUGCCUCGGCGACGCCGGCGCGAGCUGCGAUGAGGUCACCUUCGUGGCGGAGUGCUCCCACGUGCUGCACUUCCGCUGCAUCAUCGCCGGCCCCGCCGGCACCUGCCCGGUCUGCGCCGCGCGGUGGCGCCAGCCGCUGUUUUUGACGCUCCGCCCCGCGCCGUCGGUCCGGCUCGCGUCGCCGCCGCCACCGGGCGAUGAACCAGCGACGCAGCCGACUCCGCCACCUUCUACCUGAGAAGCCUUCCCCGCCCGGGUCGGAUGGUGCCGUCCUCUUCGGCUCUUUCUCCCAUCCAGGGUUGCUUGUACUUGCCUACUUGGCAGCUUGGUUGACUACAAUCUCGAUGCGUUGUACCGUGUCUAGCAAGUCUAUCAGCAUCGUAUGAUCUAUGCGAUGUGGGUGUGGCAACAAAUUGUCCUGCAGUAACAAUAAAUAAUGACGCUUUCUUGAAUUUUAUUCACCUUUUUAUUUUAGAGUGAAAAGUUUUGUAUUCAUCUUAUACAAAUAAAUACAACUUCCAAGACCCUGUUAAGUACGGUCCCAGUGGCUAGGCCCAUGCGUCAAGCUAGUUCCUACCCGAUCAUGGGCCUGCCUGUCCAUACUUAGUCUCUCGUACGGGCCCAAAACCUCAAGGAACAUGGCAAAGUUACAAAUACAACUUAUUGGUUUGUUUAGAUUUAAAGUCAGUAACCAGAGUUAUUUGGAUGCAUGGUGAAAAAUAACUGUUGAGUUUUGGCAGUGGCUUAUUUAGGUGGCUCCUUGGUGUAGAAAUCAAUGCAUGGGCCUAUAGGAACCAUUUUUUACUAUGUAAGAAGAAAUUCCAGAUGAUGCGUUUAUUGGGCUUUGCUCAUGUGUCAAGCCCAUGGACAGCAAAAUUCAGAUGUCCUAAAAUAAAACGUAGUAUCUUUAAGGGACGCACACCCAAAGAGUCAGUCUAAUUUCGUCAUAAGGGUAGUAAUGGUAGUAUUUGCAUACGUAAUCACCCUGCAAGGCUGCAGCAGACGUCAGGAAACAUUAUAAUUUUUUUAAUGAAACAAAAGUCAAAUAGCGGCACCUUCUUCCACAGUCCUCGCUCGUGACUUCUGACGCCGGCAUGACAUCAAGCUUCACUAAUAGACUUUCAGGAGCAGGCUUAACGGACAACACUCGCAAGAAAGAUUUUUCUUUUCUCUUUUUGAAAAAAGGAUUCUGAUUUCUGCCGACCGCUCCUGUGAUGCACCUAGAACAAGCUGACCGGACCAUCUUCUAGUCUCGCGCGAAUUUCCAAACGCCCGUGCAGAACCUUGACAAACUGGUAGCAGAAGAAAAAGGGAGAGCGCUGGUGCCGCGCGGGCGCGAAGACGAUGGCCGGCCGGCCGGCGGCGGGAUUCGGAACCCGCGGCCGCGGCGGUCUGGCCUUUGGAACCUGACGAGCCCUGACGGGAUCGUGGCGUCGUGCGCGGUGACCAGGUGGGGGCGGCGGCUGCUGCUCUGGCCGCCGGGACUCGUGACCGAAGCAUCUAGAAGCGCCGGGGUGAGGAGGAAUGUGUGGAGCAUAUGCGUCGUGGCAUUCUUGGGAUUAUCUGGAGCCGGGAAUGGCAUAUCCGCCUGUCGCACAUGCUGGUGGUGCCCGGCCCGACGGGGACCCCACGCCCGGCGCGGCAGGAUCCGCCGUGGCCACCACCUGGCGUCGCUGCUGUCACGUGGACUGUCACCGAGUCCGGAAAUGCCCUUGGGCAACCGGCAACGGGUAACGGGGCAAGGGAAGACAGAAGGACACGUGUGCUCUAGCAAAUAUUGGUCAUGGUGAGCCUGCAAAAAUGCAAAUAUUGUUUGUUACUUAAAAAACAAUUCUAGAAUGGCGCGGCAAAAGGAACAAACCGAAGCGUCGCAACGCCACCAAACAGACGAGCUAAACGUUGGGGUGCCACGCACAAAGCGGGCUCGCCGAUUCGACGGCGGCCGGCGCCGGACACCCGCGCCCAAACGUGGUCCUUCGCCGUCGCCGGUCGCCGGUCGCCGUCCGGGCCGGCCGAACACUUCCGCUGGACCACCCUGCUCCGGCCACUUUCCGGCCGCCCCGUCCCGAUCUCCAGCCAACCGGCCACGGCCAUGGGUUGUAGCAGCUCACGCCGGCUCAAGCAGAGCCACCACUAUUCCAUUUCCGUUCUUUUCCCCAGAAAAUAAAAAGAAACUUCUACUACUAUUUCUUUUCUCUCAGUUGGGUUUCCUUUUCUUUUUUGAAAAGAUAAGUUGGGUUUCUUUACUGGCAUUAUUGUUCCCCAAGAAAGGAAGACGAGACAUGCAUUUUCUUCUUCUCCUUCUUCUUGCGCCACGAACCAGGCCGCGCUGUCCGCGCGCCUACCACGAAGCCCCUGUCCCACCGAUGACACGUGGGCCUCUUUGAUAUCCGGGCCUACACGUCAUCGGGACAGCUCACCGGGCCUGCGCCUUCUGGAGAACGGCCGGUCGGACAGGUCACCCCCGCACCUCGUUCCAGAAUUAUUUGCGCCCAUUUGUUUAGAAAUUUCCCCAGGGCACUUUCCAAAGUUGCAUUUCGCUUUCUCCUUUGAUUAAAGAAAAAUAAAUAAAUUUGCCUUUCCUCGCCUCGCUCUUGGCUUUAUAAAAAGGGCGGCCGCUUAGACCCCUCCCCACCUCACCCGAUCCGCUUCUAGACCCUUCCCCUCACCUCGCGGCACCUCCCACCCCGGUCUCGUCGUCCUCGCAGCACCCCUCCGCCAUGGGUAAUUGCUCUCUCCUGCCCCGGAUCUCCUCCGCCUAACUGCUGCUCCCUUCUGCUUCGUGCUCGGAUCUAGCCAAGUUGGUUUUUGCUGACUUUUUAUUUGUUUUUGCUGGUCGGAUUUGCGUAUGCAGGCAAGAUUAGGAUCGGAAUCAACGGUGAGUUGCUACACCUGACGGCUGACUAGAGCUUAGUGCUGGUUUCGUUGAACCUGGAGUGAUCUGAGUGAGUUUUUGUGGGUCUCCGUGUGUGGCUUUGGGCUUCAGGUUUCGGAAGGAUCGGCAGGCUCGUGGCCCGGGUCGCCCUCCAGAGCGCGGAUGUCGAGCUCGUCGCCGUCAACGACCCCUUCAUCACCACCGACUACAUGGUACGCGCCUCGAUCUGUGAGCUUUGCUCGUUGCGGUCAUGCGGUGUGUAGAUCUGGUGGUUUAUGUGGGGUUUUGUGGUGGGUUUAGCGCCGAUUCGUGAGCUAGCGUGCUUCAAGUGGUUAAUAGUUGCUUCAGGAGUUGUUUUGACUCUUAAUUCUUUACUCGGGCUCCACGGAUCUGGGGGGGAUUUGUCGGUCUUGUCGCUUAAUUAUAAUAUUCCAUUUAUCCUGGCAGUGGGUAUGCGCAGCUUGAGAUUUAGUGCUUAGUUUUAGUGCUUCGCUCUGUGUUUAGUCUUGAUAGGGUACUGAAUUGUGAAUUUUGUGUGCUGUGCUCAUGAUUUAUAUGCUUCCCCUGUCUUGUGUAGACCUACAUGUUCAAGUACGACACCGUGCACGGCCACUGGAAGCACAGUGACAUCAAGCUCAAGGACUCCAAGACCCUUCUCUUCGGUGAGAAGCCGGUCACCGUCUUCGGCAUCAGGUAGCCCCCUGUUACAGCUUCAUUCAGAGAUGGGUUAAGCUUUCUGUUCAAGCUGUGAGCUGAUGUUUGAGCUGCCACAAUUUGAAAGGAACCCCGAGGAUAUCCCGUGGGGUGAGGCUGGUGCCGACUAUGUCGUGGAGUCCACCGGUGUCUUCACUGACAAGGAUAAGGCUGCGGCUCACUUGAAGGUAUAGUUGCUGCUUCGUAGUCCUAUGGCUGCUAUAGAAUGUUUGUAGUUUGUUUGUGUAUUAUGUUUAUGUUCUCCCUAUUUUCUGAAUGUAUGCAUUUGGGGGGAUUGUAUACUUGCAAGGGGGACACAUUAACUGAUGGUCCACUUAGUUGGGCUUAAAAAAUGGUGUCUUAAUGUUUAGCAGUAAUUUUUCUUAUUUAUUAACCUGCAAUACGUCUGGCCUGUGCUUAAUGGUAGCUUCUUGGUACCCAAUUGAGUUGAUCAUUUGCUUCUGACAUGCUGUAGUAACCUGAGAUUUGAGUUGAUCAUUUGCUUAAUGGUUAGUCAUACCAGUUUGUAUAAUGUCUAUUAGUUUUUGCUGUUUAAGCAUAGAUACUGGGAGACUUUGAAUGUUUGUAUAAUGUCUAUUAGUUUUUGCUGUUUAAGCAUAGAUACUGGGAGACUAUGAAAUGAUGUAGUUUAGUGUUAUGAUUAGGAUCUAACACAUGUAGUCUAUACUCAAUUGCCUUACUUCUCAAGAAAUUAUUUUGAGCUGUGUGGUUUUCCCUCUUCUAGAUAAGUUUUAAUGCUUUCUCGAAGUUCCAAUUGCCUGUUUCUGAUAGCUGCAUAAUUCCUUUGAAUAAUAGGGUGGUGCCAAGAAGGUUAUUAUCUCUGCUCCAAGCAAAGAUGCACCUAUGUUUGUUGUUGGUGUCAAUGAGGACAAGUACACCUCAGAUGUUAACAUUGUCUCCAAUGCUAGCUGCACCACAAAUUGCCUUGCUCCCCUCGCUAAGGUGUGUUGUUGCAUCUUUGAGCUUUUUUUUAGUUGUUUCUGCUCUUCUGAUGUAGAUUGGUUAUUAAUUAAUGAUGUCUAUUUUCAUAAACCAGGUCAUCAAUGACAACUUUGGUAUCAUUGAGGGUCUGAUGACAACUGUUCAUGCCAUCACUGGUGAGUUCCGUUUGGCUGAUGAGCAAUCUUUUGCACUUGCAUUAUUGGGAAGUACUUGUAGUUGGCUGUAAAAUGACAGCAGUAUACUUCUAUGUCAGCCACCCAGAAGACUGUUGAUGGCCCAUCAGCCAAGGACUGGAGAGGUGGCAGGGCUGCCAGCUUCAACAUCAUUCCCAGCAGCACCGGUGCUGCCAAGGUAUAUGAUAAACUCGCGAUUUUGUAUGCUGAGAGCUAAUAUUUCCUCGUUUUUCCUAUAGUGGCUCGUUUGCAAAAACUGAUUUGACCAACUGGUUUGGCUGACAAUUAUUGAUAGAAACGUGAUAGCUUGCUUUACCGUGUUUUAGGGUUUACUUAGUUUUGUGAGUUAAUUUAUAUACUGUGGUACCAUAUGUAAGCUGAAAUAACAUAGCUAAAUGAGCAUGCGUAAGUGUUAAAAUGACUUCUAUAUCAACGUGUUGCAGGCUGUUGGUAAGGUUCUUCCUGAAUUGAACGGCAAGCUUACUGGUAUGUCCUUCCGUGUUCCCACUGUGGAUGUCUCGGUUGUUGACCUCACCGUUAGAAUUGAGAAGGCUGCUUCAUAUGAGGACAUCAAGAAGGCUAUCAAGUAAGUAGUUUCUUUUUUUUUAAAUUAAUCUCCAUGAAUGUCAUAACAUUUUCAUGUCGGCAUGACCCAAUGCUAUGUUUGAUGUGGGAGCGUGGUUUCCUGGUCCAUGUUUCUUGCGUGGUUUGGGAUCACAAAACACCAUCGACUUAAUUGGUUUGGUUUUACAGGGCUGCGUCUGAGGGGCCUCUCAAGGGUAUCAUGGGUUACACAGAGGAGGAUUUGGUUUCCACCGACUUCACUGGUGACAGCAGGUAUUGAAUUUUGUUUUGGAUCCUCUUUAAGGAUUAUUAUUACACUUCUAGUGCACACUGCUAUGAUGAAGUAUAAUGAUUCUCUGCUGUAUUUCAUCGUCAUUUCAUUGCUUCUACUCAGGUCGAGCAUCUUCGAUGCCAAGGCUGGAAUCGCUCUGAACGAGCACUUCGUCAAGCUUGUCUCCUGGUAUGACAACGAGUGGGGCUACAGCAACCGUGUCGUCGACCUGGUCCGCCACAUGGCCAAGACCCAGUAGAGCGUUUCGGCUUGAUGGUUCCCAUGGUCUUCCUGGUCGUGGACCGGCUAGCUGCUUGUCUAUGCAGAGAAUAAAUGUGCAUGGUGCCCUCCGGACAGGAUUCAUGCUAAGUUGGGACAUGAGUUGCCUUUUGUUUUUCCUAUCUGCCACCUUCCUGUAACGAAGUUGCUAUUAUGGACCUGAGUUUAGUUUUUGCUUGUGAAGAAUACAAACACAGGGGGGUUGUAAUUUUGCUCUAUUGGUCGGUCUGUUGCAUAGAUGAGCUUUUGUGUUUGGUAACGACAGUCUCAUGGUUCGUCCUGCUUCCUGUGUUCUCUGCUGUCUUCUGCAUUCAUCUUGAUCCCUACCCGUUUCUAUCGUGCGUUGCGCCCUCGUCGCAUGCCUGGUGGCAUCUGUACUUGAGGGAUUGCUGGUUGGAAAAGCACCGUGGGAUGUGCUCUUCAUUCCUUUUGGGUUUCUGCUGGUUGUUUUAGGUGGAAGAAUGAGAUGCCUCUUUUAUUUGGUUUCAUUUCAUUUUUGAGUUGCAUUUGGCUGUGUGGUUCUGAUUCCGACAGGCUGAAGUUUUUGAUAGGCAGCGCUGCUGGAAGCACCGUCGCUUCUAGCUUUGGAGAUGUUCCGUGCCUCGUUCCUUCUCACUGGUUCUGUUUUGUUGGGUAAGCCACGUGCCUGUGUGAUUCUGAUUCCAACCCUUGCUGAUGUUGAUCCGUCGCAGAGCGUUGCUUUUAGCUUCGUGCGGUGCAAAAAACUGUUGCCUCGAGAUGUUGAAUCCCUCGUUCGUGUUGCGGUCAUGUAUGUGACAAAGGGUUAUGGAUACCUCCACGGCGACGAAAAAAAGAGAGAGAGAAGCUACCGCGGCGAUGAAAUACAUAUCCAGACACAGCCCACACAGCGAUCGAGGUGAGGUAGGAUCCAUCAUCCAUGGUGCAGAGGCGGCGACGCGAUCGUGGCAAUCAAGAUGCAGUUGCUGCGCUACAGCGACCAGCGACGCCGCCAGUUCGACCGGGGCGACGCUGCGGAAUGCGUUUGGAUGCCCGCCACAUACUGCCACGCGCACGCGUGCAAGAGGUGUUUGGUUUCGAAGGUCUUAUGAUAAGCUCCACCGAUAAAUCUAAUAAUUUUUUAUUCAAACAUGAAAAUUUAUAGAUGAGAUUUAUAUCUAUAAGUGUUGUAAGUCCAUAAGCUCCUCUAAGAGAUAUUUAUAGGUCGCUCUUUCCUCCCACCACCAAAAUAUUCGGAUUAAGGUUAAAAUCCAAGUUAGAUGUUAUAUUAAUCCUAAAUUUAGAUUUUAUAUUUGAAUUGCAACAUUCUAAUAUAAAAGCACACACAAGAUUCGAUUCAAAAUCAAAUAAAAUCCAAAUCACACUAAUAUUUAAAUAAUUCUAACAAAUUAAAUUUAAAUUUUGGAUUUAAUUUAAUUAAUUUGGAAAAUUCAUAAAAGGAUAAUCUUAUAGUGAUCUGGAUGGAGUAAUUACAAACGCGGCACGGAAAAUUUUUGAAACCCAUAUUUUUACAUAAAAUAAUAUUAUAGAAAAAUCUAAGAUAUUACACAGCAGAUCUGAAUCAUAUCUUCUUCAUCCUCCUCUUAAGUCUUCGACUUCAAUCUUGAAAGAAUCGACGUUUUAAGAAAUAUACAUCACCGAAUGCUGCCUCGGAAUAACCACGAAGGAUGCUCCUGACGUGGGGAUUUGGUUCGAAGAAAGCGCACUGCAUGUAGGCAUGGCCAAAGCGUCCCUCGCCAUCCAAGCCACUGUCCACGAAUGAUCCAGGUGCCAUCACUAGAGCACUUGUCGAACAGAUUCCGGAGAGGCUCGGCCAUGAGGGCGCGGGGGAACGUCCCCUCGCCGUGGACCUUCUUGUGUUCAAGCCGGUGGACCGCCUCCAGGCAGACGAUGCAGGCGACGAGAGCAAAGAUUCCUACACGCCAGACACCAACACAACUCCGUAUGAGAGUCAAUCCGAUCGUCAGUCGUAUCCUAGUAAAUCCAUACGCGUAUACUAGAAAAUAUGCUCGCCGUUGCUACGUGAAAUCAUAUAAAAAUAUAAUAUUAUAUACCAUGUGUAUUCUAUAUAAUAAUACGGUACGUGUCAGUUGAGAACUUUAAUCUUAUUCUAUUUUAUAAAAACAUAAGUCAAAAGGCAGCACCUUCUCUUUCAUUAAGAGGAAGAAGAAACAGUAACUACUGCAACACAGAGUCGUGGAUCAGAGGUCCAAAAGCUCUAAAAUGAAGCCCAAGCACAGAGAACAAUUGACGACUGAGAAAUCUACCCGGGGUGGCAGGAAAGGGAGCGAUCGAACUGACGCCGGCAUGACAUCAAGCUUCACUAAUAGGCUUUCAGGAGCAGGCUUAACGGAAAACACUCGCAAGAAAUGCACCCGAGACACCCAUUGACAGCGAGAUCUACCCUGUGAUGCACCUAGAGCAACAAGCUGACCGCACCAUCUUUUUCUUCACCCUUUCGUUCUUGACACGCCUUCUAAACGCCCGUGCAGAACCUCGACAAACCGGUAGCAGAAGAAAAAGGAGAGCAAGCAUCGUGGUGGUGCCGGGCGGGCGCGAAGGCGACGGCCGGCGGCGCCGGCAGGAUUCGGAACCCGCGGCCGUGGCGGCCUGGCCUUUGGAACCUGACGAGCCCCGACGCCGACGUGUUGCAAACUCGGGGUCGUGGCGUGGCGUCGUGCGCGGUGACCAGGUCUGGACCCAUGGGCCGCACCCAUCGGAUGUGGAACCCGUGGGCGCCCGCACCCGUAGCCCAUGGGUCCGGCUGCCAUCCCUAGUCGCUCUCGGCUUUAUAAGGGCGGCCGCUCCUCAGGCCCCCCAUCUAACCAUAUCCGCCGUCUCCUCGUCAUCGCGGCAUCAGAUCCCAUCCUCGUCUUCGCGGCACCCUUCGCCAUGGGUAGUUGCUCUCUCCUGCCCCGGAUCUCCCUGCUGCUCCAUUUACGAUCUAGCCAGGAGGGUUUUGCUGACUUGUUUCCUUCUGCUUUUCGUUUUGCUGGCUGGAUUUGGGGAUGCAGGCAAGAUUAAGAUCGGAAUCAACGGUGAGUUUUUGCGCCGUACUAGUAGUUCGUGCUCGUUUGGUCUGUGUGCGGUUGAAUCUGGACUGAUCUGAGUGGGUUUUUGCUCGUCCACGUCUGUGAUUCGGCUCAGGUUUCGGAAGGAUCGGCAGGCUCGUGGCCCGUGUCGCCCUCCAGAGCGAGGAUGUCGAGCUCGUCGCCGUCAACGACCCCUUCAUCACCACCGACUACAUGGUACGCGCUUUGCUCGUUGCGGUCAGGCCGUGUGUAGAUCUGGUGGUUUAUUUGGGGGGUUUUGUGGUGGGUUCAGCGUCGAUUCGUGGUUAAUCGUUGCUUCCAGAGUUGUUCUGACUCUGAUGCUUUACUUGAGUUCCACGGAUCUGGGGGGAUUUGUUGGGGGUAUGGGUAUGGGCAGCUUGAGAUUUAGUGCUUCGCUCUGAGCUUAGUUUUGUCAUUUGUGGGUAUGCACAGCUUUAGAUUUAGCGGUUCGCUAUGUGUUUAGUCUUGAUAGGGUACUGCGCUGUGAAUUUUGUGUGCUGUGCUCAUGAUUUAUGUGCUUCCCCUGUCCUGUGUAGACCUACAUGUUCAAGUACGACACCGUGCACGGCCACUGGAAGCACAGUGACAUCAAGCUCAAGGACUCCAAGACCCUUCUAUUCGGUGAGAAGCCGGUCACCGUCUUCGGCAUGAGGUAGCCCCCUGUUACUGCUUCAUUCAGAGAUGGGUUAAGCUUUCUGUUCAAGCUGUGAGCUGAUGUUUGAGCUGCCACAAUUUGAAAGGAACCCCGAAGAGAUCCCGUGGGGUGAGGCUGGGGCUGACUAUGUUGUGGAGUCCACCGGUGUCUUCACUGACAAGGAGAAGGCUGCGGCUCACUUGAAGGUAUAAUUGCUGCUUGAUAGUCCUAUGGCUGUUUUAGAAUGUUUGUAGUUCAUUUGUGUAUCAUGUUUAUGUUCUCCCUAUUUUCUGAAUGUAUGCAUUUGUGGCGGAUUGUAUACUUGCAGGGAGGGGGGACAAAUUAACUGAUGGUCCACUUAGUUGGGCUUAACAAUUGGUGUCUUAAAUUUUAGCAGUAAUUUUUCUUAUUUAUUAACUUGGAAUAUGCAUGGCCUGUGCUUAAUGGUAGCUUCUUGGUUCCCAAUGGAGUUGAUCAUUUGCUUCUGACAUGCUUCGUACCAGUUUGUAUAAUGUCUAUUAGUUUUUGUUGUUUUAAGUAUAGAUACUGGGAGACUAUGAAACAAUGUAGUUUAGUGUCAUGAUUACGAUCUAAUACAUGUAGUCUAUACUCGAUCGCUUUACUUCUCAAGAAAUUGCCUGUUUCUGAUAGCUGCAUUUUCCUUUGAAUAAUAGGGUGGUGCCAAGAAGGUUAUUAUCUCUGCUCCAAGCAAAGAUGCACCUAUGUUUGUUGUUGGUGUCAAUGAGGACAAGUACACCUCAGAUAUUAACAUUGUCUCCAAUGCUAGCUGCACCACAAAUUGCCUUGCUCCCCUCGCGAAGGUGUGUUGUUGCAUCUUUUAGCUUCUUUUAGUUGCUUGUGCUCUUCUGGUGUAGAUUGGUUAUUAAUGAUGUCUAUUUCCAUAAACCAGGUCAUCAAUGACAACUUUGGUAUCAUCGAGGGUCUGAUGACAACUGUUCAUGCCAUCACUGGUGAGUUUUGUUUUGCUGUUGAGCAAUAUUUUGUACUAGCAUUAUUGGGAAGGUACUUGUAGUUGGCUGUAAAAUGAUAGCAUGAUACUUCUAUGUCAGCCACCCAGAAGACCGUUGAUGGGCCAUCAGCCAAGGACUGGAGAGGUGGCAGGGCUGCUAGCUUCAACAUCAUUCCCAGCAGCACCGGUGCUGCCAAGGUAUAUGAUAAACUCACAAUGUUGUACUCCCCCUGUCCUGAAAUAUAAGGCAUUUUGGUUUGUCCUAAGUCAAACUGCUCUAAGUUUGACCAAGUUCAUAAAGAGUAAUAAAAUUUUAAAUGUCAAAUGAGAAUAAUUAGAUCCAUUAUGAACUAUAUUUUUAUAAUUUACUCAUUUGCUGUGUUAGAUGUUAAAUAUUUUUCUCUAUAAACUUGGUCAAACUUAGACUACUUACUUUGACUUAGGACAAACCAAAAUGCUUUAUAUUUCAGGACGGAGGGAGUAUGCUGUGAGCUAAUAUUUCCUUGCUUUUUUCUUUAGUGAUUUGUUUGCAAAAAAGCUGAUUUGACCUACUGGUUUGGCUGACAAUUAGUGGUAGAAAUGUGAUAACUUGCUUUACUUUGUUUGGGGGUUUACUUGGUUUUGUAAAUUAAUUUAUAUACUGUGGUCCAAUCUGAGCUGAAAUAACAUAGCUAAAUGAGCAUGCACAUACAUUGGUAUCCGGGCGUUAAAAUGACUGCUGUACAAGUGCUAACUGAUGCCAUGAUACGCAACUUAUGCUCUUUUUAGUUAAAUGGUUUGUUAUUCCACCUCAUUAUUCUGCUUAGUGUGAUAGUAUCCAUUCCAUAUUCUAGUAAAUUUGAUUGAAAUUCUGCAUGCUGACUUUUGUAUUAAUGUGUUGCAGGCUGUCGGUAAGGUUCUUCCUGAAUUGAACGGCAAGCUCACUGGUAUGUCCUUCCGAGUUCCGACAGUGGAUGUCUCUGUUGUUGACCUCACCGUUAGACUUGAGAAGGCUGCCUCGUAUGAGGACAUCAAGAAGGCUAUCAAGUAAGUAGUUUUUCGUUUAUUUUUAAAAUUAAUCUCCAUGAAUAUCAUAAUGUUUUUUGUUGGCAUUAUCCAAUGCUAUGUUUGACAUGGAGUGAGGUUUCUUGGUCCAUGUUCCUUGCGUGGUUCGAGAUCACAAAACAUCAUUGAUUUACUUGCUUUGGUUUUACAGGGCUGCCUCUGAGGGGCCUCUCAAGGGUAUUAUGGGAUACACAGAGGAGGAUUUGGUUUCCACCGACUUCACUGGUGACAGCAGGUAUUGAAUUUUGUUUUGGGUCCUCUUAGGAAUCAGUGGACUAUUAUUACACUUCUAGUGCACACUGCUACGAGGAAGUAUGGUGAUUCUCUGCUGUAUUUCAUCGUCAUUUCAUUCCUUCCACUCAGGUCGAGCAUCUUUGACGCCAAGGCUGGAAUCGCUCUGAACGAGCACUUCGUCAAGCUCGUCUCCUGGUACGACAACGAGUGGGGCUACAGCAACCGCGUCGUCGACCUGAUCCGCCACAUAUUCAAGACCCAGUAGAGCGUUUCGUAGUGAUGGUUCCCAUGGGCUUUCUGGUCGUGGACCAGCCUGCUGCUUGUCUAUGCAGAGAAUAAAUGUGAAAGGCGCCCUCCUUACGCCAGGAUUCAUGCUAAGUUGGGACAUGAGUUGCCUUUUGUUUUUCCUAUCUGCCACCUUCCUGUAACGAAGUUGCUAUUAUGGACCUGAGUUUAGUUUUUGCUUGUGAAGAAUAUAAACAGGGGGGUUGUAAUUUUGCUGUGUUGGUCGGUUUGUUGAAUAGAUGAGUUUUUGUGUUUGGUGAUU
RNAcentral lists this long non-coding RNA (57002 nucleotides) under Panicum hallii. Its description in RNAcentral is "long non-coding RNA (PHAL_LNC000604)". The record is from RNAcentral. Lineage: Eukaryota; Viridiplantae; Streptophyta; Magnoliopsida; Poales; Poaceae.